UUUCCAGAUUCCAUUUUGACUAUCACUUCUGAACAAGAGUUGCCUCCUUACAGAUUAUGUCAAUAUGGUCCUUCCAGAAUUAUCACUAUACUUCCAACUGUCCUUGAGCAACCAAUCUUUGGUAAACCUUAGAUUGUCCUCGACAAUUGUUUAAUCCUUUUAGUCAUAUCCAGUUCUAAACCUUUUCCCUUCUUAAUGCCCCAGGCAUUUGGAAAAUUUUAGAACGGAUGAAUAUAGCACAUGUAAUCGAUCCUAUAUCCGAAGCAUAUGGGACACGAUUCAUGAUGUCUCACAUAAAGACUAAACCAGUCUUUUGCUAUAACAUUUCCAUUUCAAUUUGCCAAGUUCUCAUAAUUCAGAUUAUGAAAAGGGAUGCCGUAAUCAUAAUCGAAUUUUAGAACGCAAAUAAUGGACCCAUAUACAGAAUUUCCUUAUGUUGAGCCAUUCCAACAUGAAAUUCAUAUAUAUCCUUGACUAAAUGAUUAAAACCUCACGAUCUAAGCUUAUAGAUUUGAGAUGAAGCAUAAUUUCCUCUCCCUUAAUUAUAGCAAAACAACUUUUUCCCAAUUGAAACUUUUGUUUUCUAUAAUUAACAUUGCUAACUUGCAAUACUUAUCAUAAUUAUCAUGCUCCCACUAACAUGAUGAUUAUUAGCAUAACACUUAUGCUCCCACUAGCUUUGACAUGUACUCAGAAAUCAGCUGGACUUCUAGAAAUCAAUACUUCAUUGACUUUCUUACCAAAGUUCAGAUUUCUGAUACUAGAUUGUUUUGAUAAAACUUUAUCAAAAUCAUACACCUUCCCUUAGAUAGCACACUUGUGUAUCUAAACAAUUAUGAAGAGGGAUGCCGUAAUCAUAAUGGUUAGACCUUUUUGCCACUUCUCACAAGUCCAGGUUAGUGUGCCGGUUAACCACACGCGCUCCACUAACGACUUUGAGAAUGCAAAUAUCACAAUUGCUAUCUAGCUAAAAUCUACUUAGUGAAAGUGUUUCCUCACCAUCAUUUUCAUGAAUCGGAGAGAAACCUUAUGACACUUAGAUUUAAUGGUGUAUGUGUUCUUAUCCAUGUGAAUUGUCAAAAUCAUAGUCACAAGACAAGGAUAAUGACAAAUCCAAACUCAUAUGGACUGAACUCAAUCUUAAUUUCUUGCCACCUGGCAGCUCAAGGGCCUACCAUUGCUUCCAAGUUGUUGUGCAACAAAUUGAGAACUCUAAGAACUCAUAUGCAAAGCCAACUUUAACUGGAAUGGGCACAGAAUAUGUCAACACGAUAGGUUAUAAACCUCAAGUCGUGUGCUAGUGAAGAACUUCAGGUUUUAUUCUUGAUUAGUUCUUGAGACUUUCAAGACCUUUAAGACUCCCACUGUCCUCUUGACAUAUAAGACUCCCUUGUCAAACAUCCAAGAGAUAGUGCGGAUUCUAAUCAAGAAAAACACUUUACCCAAUUGGCCUAAGUUGGUCUUUGUUUUAUCCAAAACAUCACAACUUACCAAUUUCAAAUGUACAAGAGUAGAAAACUUUUACUCUUACAUUUGACAAGUGUUUUAAACCUUCUUUAAGACAUGUCACUCAAAUGACAAUCUUGGAGUAUGACUCUAAGACUUGUAUUGGAACGAAGUAUGACUCAUCUUCUUGAUUUAACCAUUUCAACAAUUCAAGUUCCUCUUCUUAGUCAUAAGAAUGCACUAAGAUUUCCUUAGAGAACUAAUUUUGAUAUGGUUUCUUAAUCAUUAAGAUGAUCACAAAACUGAUACUAAAGUACUCUCCCAUCUUUUCAGAUUUGAGAAACUUUUAUCCUUCUGCCUUAUUUGAUUCUUCUUAUUCGCCCUGCCAUACAUUGGAACCUUUUCCAAUGUCUCAGAGUUACACUUAAGCUUGUAAGUAUAAUCAUAUUUACUGAGCUUUAGUAAACUAUGACGAAUAGUCUUAUCAAUCUUUUGUGGUGGACUUAAUCAGUGCACAAGAAUGUGUACUCGAUCCCUUAGUCCUUUACUUGACUCACACAUCCAUGUGGCCGAGUAAUUAGUCUUAAUUUUCCAAAACUUGAAAGUUCUCAUUCAUCAUGCUAUACAACUUGCAUGAUUCCAAGUUCCGGUCCAAUUGAAACUUGGGUGAUGAGAAUCUUUCCUUAUUUGGUAAAUCUAGACAUUACCACAAAUGAAAGAAUCAAUUUCAUAUUUCCACUCUUGCUCUUAAUGGAAUCAUAUAAGCAACAAUUUUUCCUCAAAAGCCAUUGUAAGGAUAUUUUAAAAUAAAUAAAAUCAAAAAAAUUUUCUUUUAUUUUAAAACUUUGCGGAAAAACUUAUCCUUACAAUCCAUAUGAAAACUUGUUGUUAUCUAUUCCUAAGCAAUAUCUCAUAACUCCUAAGAAGUUGCUCAAGAAUCCGAUCUUCAAACUAUGCGAUAGAAAUCCAUCUACGCCAUCAGAUUCAGCAUAUUCUUUCUUUAAGUUUCUUCACUUUUCUUUGAUUCUUAAAACAUCACCAUGUGACCCAGUCACAUCAUGUAUCAGGAAUCUCAGAAUAGAAACUUAACAGAGUUAGAUAGUGGUCUUUACCUGAAGUAGAGUCAAACUUAUUGACUUUAACAUCCUUAGGUAAAUUUGGCAGCUUCGCAACCAAUGCCCCUUCCCUUGGCAAUAUAAACAUAUGGACCCUUUGAUAAUGGUACACGAGACUAUCACAGACUUAGCUUUUCUCUUUACCAUUUGGUCAACCGAGUUGACUAUGGCCGAUCCCUUUCCAUUGGGAAGAGAAUGCUUUACUGGAUAUCCAAUGUCAUCAUUGUCAAUGUCCAUAAAGUUUUAGGAAGUUGAUCUUAGCAAAUAGAUAAGAUCAUUAAGGGUCUUGUCAUAGUCUGUUUCAUAGGUGUCCCAAAGGAACUCACUAUGUGACUUAGAAAGUGAUUGAACCACCAACUUUCUCAAGACUUUGACACCCAACUCUCCCGGCUUGUCAAUAUGUGACUACAUCUCCAAGAUGUGAUCACACCUAGACCUUGCCUUGCCAAUAGGGCUUGAGUGACCUUAAACUUUUCAAGAACUUGUGGGUUAGGGAGAAUAAUUGGAGGAGGUGAAAGAAGUAUGAUUUCCAAAGGACAUCAUCUUCAUUUAGGAAACCUUGUUUCACUAGAUUUGGGAAGAUCAUAGGUGUCUAUUACAGACAUCUUUUGGGAGAUAUUCAAGAUAGUUGAUUUAAAGUCCUUAAUAUGACACCCAAUAUGAAAUAUUAAGGCUAGGACCCAACAAACUAUUUUAUAACUUAGAAGAGGUAUGCCGUAAUCCAAGCUAUAAAAUAUUUGAAGGUAGGUGAAUGACGAUUCACCAAUUUCCACCAAGAUAAACGAAAUGUAUUAUUAGGUUUUAAUUGGUUUUGAAACUCCUAGAUCUUUGAGAUUCAUUGAACUUUUCAAAGGCAUGUUUCAAUCUCGAGUGUGCCCUUCAGGUUUUGUGACUGGGAUGCCGAGGAUCACAAAACAAGGUGUGAAGUAACCAUGCAAAUCACUUGGUACCCUUAAUAAAUUACCCCUCAAUCGAUGUGCCGGUUAACCACACACGCUCCAUCGAUACUAUGAUAAAUAUUAAGUCACCCUUUACCUACCUUGUUAAGUCCAAGUUAGUGUGCCGGUUAACCACACACGCUCCACUAACGACUUAGACAAAGUGUAAAGUGUAAUUUCAUGGAUUAGCACCUUAUUCACAUUUUUCCUAAGUAACUAAGAUUGGGUAUUAUUAAGAGUUUAGUUACUUAGUAUUAUCAUUAAUACUUUUAAUGAAGGGAGAAUUCUAGUCCUGUCAAACCCGUUCGGCUAACGACCCUCCACCAGUCAAGCAAGCGGUGGGUGAGAGUGGACACCCAUUAAGUUGCCAUUUUAUAGGCAACAACCUUAUACCCACCUUAUAGACCGGCUUCGUGAAUGAGGCGUACUAGCGGUAAGACUGACUUUACUCUUAUACAUAUAUAUAUUAUUAACUUAUAAUAUUAUAAAGUAUAAGGGUUGAAUUUUAACUUUUAAAAUUCUAAGGGCUAACUUGGAAUUAAAGUAUUCAUAAGUGAAAACUUUACAAAUUCCAAAACUUGAGGGCAAGUUUUGAAACUAUUCAAAACUAAUUAAUUCCAUAACUUAUGUGUUUAAAGUAGUUUUAAUCCAAAAACUCUUCAAGUUCCAUAACUUGAGGACAAGUUAUGGAAGACUUUAAACUAAUAAAAGAAUUAACUUUUCUUUAUUUUAUAACUUAUGGAAUUAAUUAAGGUUACACUUUUUUUUUUUUUAUUUUAUUUUAUUAAAUGAAGAGACUCUUGGUCCUCCAUAACUUGAGGACAAGUUAUGGAGUCAUAAAACCAUUUAAUUAGAACUAGACUCUUCAUUUUUGUAACCUUUGCCAAUUUUUAUGAGUUUUAUGAUUCUUAAAUGUGACUUUUCAUAUAACUUGAGGACAAGUUACAAAAACACAUUUUAGAAUCAAUUCUUAGAUUAAUUUGGAUUAAAACCAACUAUCACAUAAUUUUAUUCAUUAAUCUAAAUUCACUCAUAAAACAAGGUAACACAAAAAACUUUUGGUGAUCCAUAACUUAUUCUUAAGUUAUGGAAUCCUUUAAAACAUUAACACCAAAUUUUGUAACUCCAAAAAAACUUUGAAUCAAUUUUUUUUUUAAAACCUUUUCAUAUCCAUAACUUAUGGAGGUUUCAAAAAAUAAAACUCUUUAGAUCAAACUUUUAAAACUAAUAAAAUAAUCAUAUUAUUUUAUCUUUUAUUAAAUUUGACCUAAUUCAACUCAUAAAGCAAAUUAUUCAAAUUUUACAAAUAAUUAGUUUUUCACAAGAACAAGUAAUUAUCUUAAAAUUUGACAAACUUCAUGUUUUUUUUUUUUUUUUUUUUCAACUUUGAAAAUAAAAUAUUUGCAUCAAUAUAACAGAAAACAACCCGUGGCUCUGAUACCACUGUUGGGUUUUGAGCAUUCUAACACUUCCUAAGUGUACAUGCAACCCUAAAUACCUUGGAUCUAUGUUUUCUCUAUUAUACAUGCAAAUAAGAACAUCCAAGGUAUUAUCCUAAUCUAGCAUACAAAAACUAUGAAUGUAACAAGAUAGAAUACAUACCUCUUGAUGUAGCUUGAUGUCUUCAAGCUUUAAGAGCUUAGCCCCAAUAGUGUGGAAGCCUCAAGUGGAAUCACAAAUCACCAAGACACCUUGGAAUACUUUAGAGAAUAUGAUUACUUGGUUCUCUCUAGUGAAAUUGGCUAGCCCUUCUUUAGUGUAUCCACACUAGUGCCAAUUUCACCAACCAAAGACAUCUUUAUAUAGUAUGGAGGAUUAGGGUUAAACCCUAAUACCCAUGACCUUUCAUUUCCUAGGAUCCAUGGGUUAAACACUCCAUGGACUAUCCAUGAAAGCUUAGCCCAACCUAAAUGAACUUGGCCCAUUCCAUAUAUAUAAGAGUCCAUAUUUAAUUAGUUCCUUUUGAUCACUUAAUUAAUUAUAAAUUAAUUCUUGAUCAAUACUAAUUAAAUAAUAUGAUUCCAUAUUAAUAUAUUAGAACUUAUAAUAUAUUAAUAUUAAUCAUAAACAUACUAUUCUCAAAAGAUUAUCCAUAUAAAUUGUGUCGGUGAAGUGCAACCCAAAUGGACCAUGCCGGGUCGGGUCAAGUACAUACCAAAUAUAGUUAUGGACUUAGACAUUAAUCCAACAGUGACUGGGUCACAUGUUGAUGUUUUAAGAAUCAAAGGAAAAGUGACGGAAACUUAAAGAAAGAGUAUGUUGAAUUUGAUCGCGAAGAUGGACUUCUUUCGCUUGGUUGAAGAUUGAAUUAUUGAGCUACUUCUUAGGAGUUAUGAUAGAUUGCUAGGAAACAUGUAAUAACAUAGUUUUCAUUUCAAGUUACAUUGUAAGGAAAAAGUUUUUUCCGCAUUUUAAAAUAAAUAAAAGUUUGUUUUACUUUAUUUUUUCUCCUUACAAUGACAUUCAUGAAAACUUGAUGUUUGUAUGUUUAUAACAAUAUUGGAAAUAUGAAUUUGAUUCUUUCAUUUGUGGUAGUGUCUAAAUUUACUAAAUAAGGAAAUAUUCUCAUCACCUAAGUUUCAAUUAGACCGAANUUGAAUUUGAUCGCGAAGAUGGACUUCUUUCGCUUGGUUGAAGAUUGAAUUAUUGAGCUACUUCUUAGGAGUUAUGAUAGAUUGCUAGGAAACAUGUAAUAACAUAGUUUUCAUUUCAAGUUACAUUGUAAGGAAAAAGUUUUUUCCGCAUUUUAAAAUAAAUAAAAGUUUGUUUUACUUUAUUUUUUCUCCUUACAAUGACAUUCAUGAAAACUUGAUGUUUGUAUGUUUAUAACAAUAUUGGAAAUAUGAAUUUGAUUCUUUCAUUUGUGGUAGUGUCUAAAUUUACUAAAUAAGGAAAUAUUCUCAUCACCUAAGUUUCAAUUAGACCGAAACUUGGAAUCAUACAAGGUGUUGAGUGUGAUGUGUGAGAAUUUUCAACUUUGUAAAAUUAAGACUAGUUCCGUGUUCACAUGUAUAUGUGACUCAAGAGAAGGACUAAGUGAUCAAGUACACUUUCUUGUGCACUUGUCAAAGUCCACCAUAAAAGAUGGAUAACACUAUUCGUCAUGAGUUACUAAUGUUUAGUAAAUAUGAUUAUACUUACAAGUGUAAGUAUAAUUCUGAAACAUUGAAAAAAAUUUCAAUGUAUGACAGAACGAAUAAGAAUAAUCAAAUUAGGCAGAAGGAUAAAAGUAUCUCAAAUCUGAAAAAAUGGGAGAGUACUUUAGUAUAAUGUUUUAAGAUCAUCUUAAUGAUUUCGAGACCUUAUCACAAUUCAUCCUCUAAGUGCAUUAUGAUAGUUAAUAAGAGGAGUUAUGAAUUGUUGAAGUGGUUAAAUCAAGAAGAUGAUUCAUACUUCGUUCCAAAAACAAUUCAUAGAGUUAAACUCUAAGAUUGUAACUUGAGUGACAUGUCUUAAAGAAGGUUUAAAACACUUGUCAAAUGUAAGAGUAAAAGUUUUCUACUCUUGUACAUUUGAAAUUGGUAAGUUGUGAUGUUUUGGAUAAAACAAAGACCAACUAAGGCCAAUUGUGUUAAGUGUUUGUCUUGAUUAGAAUCCACACUAUCUCUUGAAUAUUUGGAAAGAAAGUCUUAUAGGUCAAGGAGACAGUGGGAGUCUAAAAGAUCCUGAAAGGGUUUCAAGAUGUAAUCAAGAAUAAAACUUGUAUUUCAUCACUAGAACACAACUAGAGGUUUAUAACCUAUCGUGUUGACAUUCCUGUGCCCAUUCCAAUUAAGUUGGCUAUAUAAUUGAGUUCUACAUGUUCUCAACUGUUUGCAUAGCUCCUUGGAAGCAAUGGCAGACGCUUGAGCUACCAGGUGGCAAGAAGUUACGAUUGCACAAGUUCAAUCCAUAUGAGUUAGGAUUUGUCACUAACCUAGUCUUGUGAUUAUGGUUUUGACAAAUUCACAUGGAUAAGAACACAUACACCAUAAAAAUCUAAGUGUCAUAAGGUUUCUCUCCGAUUCAUGAAAAUGAUGGUGAGGAAAUUCUUUCACUGAGUAUAUUUUAAGUAGAUAGAAAUUGUGAUAUUUGCAAUUCUCAAAGUCGUUAGUGGAGCAUGCGUGGUUAACUGGCACACUAACAUUGACUUAUGAGAAAUGGAAAAAAGUCUAAACAAUUGAGACUAUGAUUACGGCAUCCCUUUUCAUAGUUCUGAAAUUGUUUAGACACACCUGUGAGCUAUCUGAGAGACGUGUAUGAUUUUUGAUAAAGUCUUAUCAAGACAAUCUAGUAUCAGAAAGUUGAACUUUGGUAAGAAAGUCAAUAAAGUUUUGAUUUCUAGAAGUCCAGUUGAUUUCUGGGUACAUGUCAAAGCUAGUGGGAGCAUAAGUGUUAUGCUAAUAAUCAUCAUGUUAGUGGGAGCAUGAUAAUUAUGAUAAGUAUUGCAAGUUAGCAAUGUUAAUUAUAGAAAACAAAAGUUUCAAUUGGGAAAAAGUUGUUUUGCUAUAAUUAAGGGAGAGGAAAUUAUGCUUCAUUUCAAAUCUAUAAGCUUAGAUCGUGAGGUUUUAAUCAUUUAGUCAAGGAUAUAUAUGAAUUUCAUGUUGGAAUGGCUCAACAUAAGGAAAUUCUGUAUAUGGGUCCAUUAUUUGCGUUCUAAAAUUCGAUUAUGAUUACGGCAUCCCUUUUCAUAAUCUGAAUUAUGAGAACUUGGCAAAUUGAAAUGGAAAUAUUAUAGCAAAAGACUGGUUUAGUCUUUAUGUAAGACAUCAUGANAUACUCAAAAUUCGAGUAUGAUUACGACAUCCCUUUUCAUAGUCAAAUUUUGAGAAUAUGGCAAACAAAAUUAUUAUGGCAAAAUACUAGUCUAGAACCAUGUCUUUAUGUGAAACAUCAUGAAUUGUGUCCCAUUUACUUUGGGUACAAGAUCGAUUAUAUGUGCUAUAAUAUUUAUCUUUUCUAAAUUUUCUAAAUGCCUUGGGGCAUUAAGGAGGAAAAUGUCUAGAAUUGGAUAUGACUAAAGUGAUUAAGCAAUUGUCGAGGACAAUCUAAGGUUUACCAAAGAUUGGUUGCUCAAGGACAAUUGGAAGUAUAGUAUUAAUAUUGGAAAGACCAUAUUGAAAUAGUCUGAAAAGAGGCAACUCUUGUUCAGAAGUGGUAGUCAAAAUGGGAAUAUAGAGUUGUCUCCAUAGAUAGAAGCAAUCUAUGUAAGAUUAGAAAAAAAAACUUAGUGCAAGAAGCAUGUUCAAAGCAAUGCAUACUUUGAACAUAAGGCUUUGUGUCCAUGGAGUAGUUCUUCAUCGGAAUACCCUGUAAUGGUUAUUGACAAGUCUUUGUGACUUUGUACACAUUCAUUGCAAGAGGGUAGUGCAUUCAAGUUUAAAAUCUAACAGAUUUUGAUUUGGGAGUGUGAAAUUAGAAUCAUUGAAAGUUUGCUCAAUUGGUUUAUUUCAUAAAAGUAAGGAUCAUAAACAAACAUGGAGUGCAUACUUGGUGUAUGGAAAAACUAUUGUUUAGAAAAACAUAGUGUACAUGCUUGGAGCAUGGGAUAACUAGUGUUUUAAUUCAAGUAUAAAGUUGAUAAAACCAAAACAAUGAAUAAUGAGUAAUCAAUAUGGUGAUAAAUAGAAAGUCUUUUAUUUAUAUUCAUAGGUUUUCAUACCAUAUUAGAUUCAUUUAUUCUUGUGUUACACUUUGCAUGUUUUGACUUCCAUAAUAACUAGGUUAUUCUUCCACAAUGACUAAGUUAUUCAAACCAUCCACAGUCAGUCAUAUGUUGGAAGUAGAUAUGAAUCAAGACUGUCAUGGGUUGGCUUGUAGAGGUCCAAGUUGGUGGACAAAGUUGUGCUACAACACUAAUGAGUGCUCAUAAGUUCUGAGUAUUGGAUUCAACCCGCGCUCAUUUGAAUCACUUCAUGGAUUUUAUCACGAGUGAUCAUGAGACGAUAAUAUCUUAUAUUCUUCAAACCUAGAGAUAUGAGUUGUUACUAUGAGUUGAUAGUACAUUGAUUGCACGAAAACGCAUUGGUAACUCGAUGUUAUAAAACGUGCCUUUGUGUAUGAUUCAACAAGUAGUAGAACAAGACAUAUGAGUCGAAGUUUAUCCAUUCCUUUUGCCUUCGGGAUAAAAGUGAUAUAUGUGGGCCCCUCGAUGAUUUAAUGAUGACACAUGUGAGUGCUUGGCCAAUCCAAGACUGAUUUGAUUUGUUCAAUCAGUCAGUAUUCAUGAAUUGGAAAUCAGGAAACAACAAAUGGACUGAGAGAAUGAUUAUAAUCCAUGUCUUAGUCCAUAUGAUAUCUAGAAUGGAGGAAUAUAUGAUCCCUUAUCUAAUGGACAAGUCAUUGACAAAGGUCAGAGUUCGACAGCGGCUUUAAGAGCUACGAUUGCUAGUUAGGUUUUGAAGACAUACUUAAUAAUAGUUUUAGACUUAUCCAAGUAGGAGACUUUUGGAUUAAUGUCUAAGUUAAUAACUAUAUUUGGUAUGUACUUGACCCGACCCUGCAUGGUCCAUUUGGGUUGCACUUCACCGGCACAAUUUAUAUGGAUAGUCUUUUGAAAAUAGUAUAUUUAUGAUUUAUAUUAAUAUAUUAUAAGUUCUAAUAUAUUAAUAUAUAAUCAUAUUAUUUAAUUAGUAUUGAUCAAGAAUUAAUUUAUAAUUAAUUAAGUGAUCAAAAUGAACUAAUUAAAUAUGGACUCUUAUAUAUAUGGAAUGGGCCAAGUUCAUUUUGGUUGGGCUAAGCUUUCAUGGAUAGUCCAUGGAGUGUUUAACCCAUGGAUCAUAUGAAAUGAAAGGUCAUGGGUUUAACCCUAGUCUCCAUACUAUAUAAAGAUGUCAUUGGUUGGUGAAAUUGGCACUAGUGUGGGUACACAAAAAGGGCUAGCCGAUUUCACUAGAGAGAACCAAAGUAUUCUUAUUCUCAAAGUCUUCCAAGGUGUUUUGGUGAUUUGUGAUUCCACUUGAGGCUUCCACACUAUUAGGGAUAAGCUCUUAAAGCUUGAAGACAUCAAGCUACACCAAAAAGGUAUGUCAUCUAACUAGUCUUUGUAGUAUAGUUGCCUCAUAGUAUGCUAGUUAGGAUUAAAGCCUUGGAAAGUUCUUAUUUGCAUGUAUGAUAAAGAAAACAUAGAUCCAAGGUUUAUAUGGUUGCAUGUACACCAUAGGAGUGUUAAAAUGCUCAAAGCCCAACACAAAUGUUGUGACUGGUAUGUUUCUAUCCAUUUUUAUGUUGAUUAUGUUUUAUGUUAUGUUUAUCUAUGUGCCUUUGUUAGUUAAGUUCCUAGUGAAAUCUUUGCUUGCUCUAGUGUUGUUUGACUCGGGUGCGAGUUGGUCUUUUGUGUCUUGAUCGUUUAGUAGAGAUUUUUAUAUGCCCAUAGGGAAGUUAGAGUGUCCGUCGUGAUUUUCUAUCGCCAACGAACAUAGGGUUUCUCCAUCAUCAAUAUAUCAGAGUUGUAUUUAUGAGAUCUGCGGGGCGCCUUAUCCGAACGAUUGGAUCCUUAUCCCCAUGGGGGAUGUUUUCCUGAUUGUGGAUGUGGAUUGGCUGAGUCGUUUCGGUGCUAUGGUUGAUUAUGAGGGCCAGCACAUGGUAGUUCGGACCCCAAGUAGGGGAGAACUGGUUAUCUAUAGAGAGGGAACCAGGAUAGGUUCAGGGUGUUGUACUGCCAGAGCUCGGUAGUAUAUUCAGCAUGGGUGUGUGGGUUAUUUGGAUUAUAUGGUAGAUACACAUGUUGGGGAUCAGGUUGCCUUUUCAGAGGAUCUGGUUGUCAGGGAGUUUACCGAUGUGUUUCUCGAGGAGUUACCUGGUGUGCCUCCUGAGAGGCAGGUCGAGUUCAGAAUUGAUCUUGUGCCAGGUGCGGCCCUGAUUGCUAGGCACUAUACCGCUUGGCACCGCCUAAGAUGUAGGAUUUUUCAUCUCAGCUGCAGGAGCUGCUAGGCAAGCAGUUCAUCUGACCGAGUAGUUCUCCGUGGGGAGCAUCGAUUUUGUUCGUCAAGAAGAAGAACGGUUCACAUCGGAUGUGCAUUGAUUAUCGGGAGUUGAACAAGUUAACGGUGAAGAACCGUUAUCCCUUCCACGUAUUGAUGACCUCUUUGAUCAGUUGUUGGGUACAUCUUGUUUCUCCAAGAUAGUUUUGAGGUCCAAGUAUCAUCAGGUCAGGGUGAGAGAGGAGGACGUGGAGAAGACUGUGUUCUGGACUCGUUGUGAGCAUUACGAGUUCGUGGGUAUGCCAUUUGGGCUCACCAAUAUGCCUACAGUAUUUAUGGAUUUGAUGGAUCGAGUAUGCAGACUAAUGCUCGAUCGUUUGGUUAGUGUGUUCAUUGAUGAUAUCUUGGUAUAUUCCAAGACCAGAGAGCAACAUUAGGAGCAUCUUCAUGAGCUUCUGGGGGUUUUAAGGUGAGAACGACUUUAUGCUAAGUUCUCAAAGUGCGAGUUUUGGUUACGAUUGGUCGUUCUACCCAGGAUUGAGGCUAUGAUGCAGUGGGAGGUUCCGAAAUCUCCCUCGGAUAUCAGGUGUUUCUUGGGUUUGGUAGGGUACUAUCGGAGAUUCAUUCAUGAUUUCUCCAAGAUUGUAGUACCCCUCACUCAUCUAACAAGGAAGGGGGUGGAUUUCUGAUGGGGCCCUGAGCAGCAGUCAUCAUUUGAGACCCUUCGACAAAGAUUAUAUGAGGCUCCAGUUUUGACCCUCCCAAAAGGAAUUGAUGAUUUUUUGGUAUUUUGUGAUGCAUCUAUCACUAUUUAGUGGGUGGUCCUCAUGUAGAGAGGAUGGGUAAUAGCUUAUGCUUUGCGGUAGCUGAAGCCGCACGAGACGCGAUAUACCACACAUGAUCUGGAGCUGGGGGCAGUGGUUUUUUCCCUCAAGAUUUGGAGGCAUUAUCUUAAUGGGGUUCGUUGUAUAAUAUGCAUAGAUCUCAAGAGUGUUAGGCAUAUUAUGGAUCAGCCAUACCUGAACAUGAGGCAGCGCAGGUGGCUGGACGUAAUCAAGGACUAUGAAUGCGAUAUCCUUUACCAUCUAGGUAAAGCGAAUGUGUUGACGGAUGCUUUGAGCCGCAAGUCGGAUGGGUCUUCAUAUGGGGUAUCGUGUAUGAGGAUGUCAGUAGAUUCCCUGAUUUUGGGAUUCAUUAGGCAAGCUCAGCCCGAGGUUGUUCGGUAAGAGAAUUGGAAGAAAGAUAGGAUCAGGGGUGAUAUUGAUAGAUUUGUUCCGGAUGGUCAUGGUUGUUGACCCGAUGUGGUCGAGUUUGGGUUUCAAUGUCUGGUGGGUUCAGACAGACUGUAUUGGAGAAGACUCAUAAGUCUUGUUUUUGUAUCCAUCUGGGGGCCACCAAGAUGUAUCGGGAUCUGAGGUUAAGCUAUAGGUGGUCGUGUAUGAAGAGGUAGAUCGCCAGUUAUGUGGAGAGGUGCAUUACCUGCAGGAUGGUCAAGGUUGUGCAUCAUAGACCACAUGGAAAGCUGCAGCCUUUGGAGGUUCCCACGUGGAAAUGGGAGCAAAUUUCGAUGGAUUUCAUCACCCAGUUGUCGAAGACGGCAAAUGGUUUUGAUACUAUUUGGGUCAUCGUGGAUCGAUUGACCAAGAGUGCCCAUUUACUGGCGGUUCGGGAGAGUUCUUCGGUCGAGAAGUUGUCUGAUGUAUAUGUUUAUGAGAUUGUUACUCACCAUGGAGUUCUGGUCUCUAUUUUCAGACCGUGAUGUUUGGUUCACCUCCCGUUUUUGGUAGAAGUUCCAUGAGGAACUGGGCAUGAGGUUGCACUUCAGCAUAACUUAUCAUCCGCAGACUGAUAGCUAGAUUGAGCAAACAAUACAGACCCUUGAGGAUAUGUUGCAGGCUUGUGUCAUCGAUUUUGGUGGGAGCUAGGACUCCUACCUACCUAUUGAGGAGUUCUCUUGUAACAACAAUUGUCACUCCAACAUUGCUGCUCCGCAUUUGCAGCUCUUGUACGUGUGGAGAUGUCGUACCCCGGUUUGCUGGGGCGAGGUUGGGCAUAGGGUUAUGGGGCAUACCUAAAUGCUCCUUUAGACCAUGAAGAUGAUUUAGUAGAUCAAACAGAGAUUACAGACUGCUCAGAGUCGGCAGAAGAGCUCUGUCGAACAGCACUGAUCCAAGUUGGAAUUUCAGGUCGGCGUCAUGGUGUUACUGAAGGUCUCUCCUUGGAAAGUUAUUAUUUGCUUCAAGAAGACGGGAAAUUAGAUCCCCAGUAUAUUGGACCGUUUCGAGUGAUCUACAGGGUUGGCAGGGUUGCUUACAGAUUAGAUCUUCCUGAGGAUCUCAGUUAGAUUCACAACACUUUCCAUGUUUCACAGUUAUGGAAGUGCAUGUUGGAUGAGAAUACGAUGGUUUCCUUGCAUGAUAUACAAGUUGAUGAGUGCCUAAAAUAUGUUGAUUGGUCGGUGGCUUUCCUGGAAAAAAUGUAAAGGUUUCGCAUAGCAAGGAAGUACCAUUGGUAAAGGUAAGGUGGUGGCACCAUAGGGGAUUCGAGUGGACCUGGGAGCCAGAGGCUGAGAUGUGGGAGCAUUAUCCGAGUUUGUUCGCGACAGCAGACUUCGAGGACAAAGUCUAGCUCAAGUGGGGGAAAGUUGUAACACCAAGGUUUUCAGGUAUUUUCAAAUUCAUCCGUAUGUUUUGAUUCAUGACAUUUUGGUCCUUGUAUUUGAAAGAAGUAGUCAUGAGAAUCCUAAGUGGCAAGACUGUAAUUUUUGGGAAGAAGGAGUAGGCUAAGCGUACAUGUGGGUACGCUGAGCAUACUAGUGCACGCCCUAGCACCUUGUGUGUACACAUAUGUACACUGGGCGUACCCAUGUCCAAAACAAACCCUAAGUUUUAUUGUUUGAGGGGUAUUUAAACAUCCUUAUGGCUAAUUUAUCCCCACCUUUUUAGCCUCCAAAGCCUUAGAGUCGUCCAUGAAAAACCAUAUUCCCUCAAGUGUGUGUUUGAGCUAAAAAGUGUGUUUUGGUGUGCUUAAGGAAGAAGGAGUUGCAUCAAGGAACAUCAAAGUGGAAACAAGCUUGUGUAUCUUGGAUAUUACCUUCUUGAGGAGCUCCAGAAGGUAAAAAGUCUUCACCUUGAUGAUUUGAUUGUUUGGAUCUCAUUUUGGUAACCUUAUGUUGUUCACCUUGUCUCAAAAGUCCCAUUUUUAUGCAUUUUUGGUCUUAGACUUUUUGAGUUGUCCUUCCAGACCCUAUGAAGGGUCCUAAGCCAUAAAAAUGAGGUUACUUUAGUUAGUUUGGCUCCAUGCAUCUUGUAAAAGGUCUUAAUGGAUUAAGACCUUGUGUUAAGGACUUUAUGGACGUGUAAAGUCAUAAAGUUGGAAAUUUUAUGACCCUAGCAUGCCACUGGACCUUCAAUAUGAUGUAUCAGUUUAAGUGCUAAAGCCAUUAAGCACUUAAAGAAGAAUUUGAGGUUGCGAGAGUACACCCCGCGUAGCAUGGUGUAAGCCCCGCAUACUCGGUCAGCCACCCCAAUGGCGGUCUUUUGUGCAACUUCAUGUACACUGAGUGUUCCUUCAGAUUACGCCCCAUGUACUCGUAUGGGUCAGCCACCCCGACGGUGGUCUUCUGCGCAGCUUCGUGUACGUUGAACGUACCUCCGGAGUAUGCCCCGCGUACUCGCAUGGGUGAGCCUAUGUUGAGUUAACUCGGCUAGGUUGACUUAGCUGGGUUGACUCAAUGGGUUUAUUGAUUUUGACCAAUUGACUUUGAGUUUGACCAAGUUUGACUUUGAGGGUAUUUUGGGUAUUUUGGGAUUAUGAUAGAACUGGUCACUUGGUGGAUGUAGGCAUUGAGUAGAGAGUUGAGAUUGGGAGUCGGGCCUUAUCAGUUCUAUUCAGGCUGAAGGCACUUUAGGGUUUAAAGUACUCCAUGGAUUAUGGCAAUGGGCCCCCUAGAUGAAGUGUAGGUUAAAAGCCCGAGACUUGUCUUAUUACCUAUAUAUUGUCAUGUAUUAUUCAUAAUUAAGGUUAAAAGUGAGGCAAAAUGUAGCCGCCAAACAUAAUGAGGUUUCUUAUGUACAGUUAGAUUCUUUAGUCUAUUCUAAAAGUGUAAUUUAUUCCUCAUGUUCAUGAGUAAAUCCAUUGAUUAUUCGACAUAUCUUCAUUAUUGUGUUUGUUCUUAUUUUCCGCAUUUUGUUUAUCAAACCGUAAUUAGGGUUUUAUCUCAACAAGUGGUAUCAGAGCGGGUUUUUGAAGAUAUGUUGAUUUUUGAAAUAUCAGUUCUUGAUUUGAUGAUUUUAUGCACAAGUUAUUGAAGAUUUUUGGUGUUUUGGCGGUUUGGAAUCAAGGUUGUUGUUCGUUCUGCUGUUCAUGAAGAUUUAUGAUAUUUUUCUACUAUUCAUCGUGGUAAUUUCAAUCCAAUUCUCAUUUAAUUCGUUAUCUUCUUGCUGUCCGUGGAUCGUUUUCUUAUUCUCUCAUAUUCUUACUUUGGAUCCAGUUCUUCUUUAUUCACGUUCAUCAUCGAUAAUGUCAUCUUUAAAUCAGAGAUUCUUAUUCUUGCUUUCAAUCAAUUGGUUUAUGCUUGAAAAUAGAUUAUAUGUUGAGAUUCAAUUGUUUCCUUCAAUCUUUGAUUUGGUUUAUGUUUGAUGAUGGGAUCUGGCUUAUUCGAAAUCCUUAUCACAUCGCUUUUUUUUUUUUCUUUUUCGAGUCCUCAGAUUCAUCCUUUAUUCAAUUGAUUUUGAGGUUACUUUAAUAACAGUUAGAAAUUAAUGAUUAUUUCGAUAUUUUUACUAUGAGGGUGAUGAUUCUGGUCUGGAGUUCGUAAUUGUUAUUUGAAGGACUGAUGAAGAAUAUGGCGAUUGUUGAUUUGAAAAUUAAUCUGUGUUUUUUGUGGUUCAUUGUUUGUCAUAUUCCGUACUGGUGAUGGGUUUCGCAAUUAGAAUUGGAACUCAAUGGAAUGAUUUGAGCAUAUGUUCGCUUUUACUGAUCAAUUAAAAAGUCAAAAUUGGAAUUGUGGACUUUUUGGUACGAAUGUUUCUCCUGCGAAUGUAAUCGGAAGUUGAUUCGGAAUGAAUGGACUCGGAAUCGGAGUUCUUUGUUGGCUUGGAUUCGCAACUCACAAACGAACUGUGAGAUUAGAACAAAUGAAAUCGGGAUUGGAACUUAACUGGAAGGAUGUUCGCCAUUUGCUGGUAAAACCUAAAAGUCAAAAUUAAAAUAUUGCGAACAGUCUCACCUGCGAACGAUCUCUGAAUCAGAGCUUGAUAAUCUAGGAUCGGACUCGUUUUUCCCAUGAACGUUCGGAACCGAUUGUUCGGAGUUUGAUAUCUUUGGAUUUGGGGUUGACAGUGAUUCACAUAGGGAUUGAAAUCGUUUGAUUGAGAAUGAACCAACUUGCAAUCGAAACUACAAAUGGGCUCGGAUUCGGAAUUGAGAACCAGUGCUCGGAACGAUGCGGUUGAUCGGGAUCAAAAUUUUGGUUUAAAUCGGAAAUAAUUUUCGUUUAUGAGCUUUCGGAGAUCAAGUCCUCUAGCUACGAGUUGUUCCAGAUGGUGUUUGGGAUAACUUUUAAAUUGACUUUUAACUUUUAUCUUUUUCUAAAAGUCAAAAAGAUGUUUAGUAAUCCUCACUUUUCCAACUUUUCCAAAAGAGUAAAUGACAUCUUUUUGAAAAGUCAUCGAAUCCUGACUUUUCCAUCUUUUACAAUAAAGACUUUUUGGCUUUCAAAAGCUAAACCAAACACCCUCCCAGUCGUGUUCUUUUACCAUGGGUAAAUGGGGAAGAAGAUGUUAAAGUUUCACUUUUGGUCCCUAUAAUUUUCACAAUUUGGCAGUUUUGAUCCAAAUUCCAAAUUUGUCACAAAUCAAAGGGAUAAUGAUGCUAAAUUACUAUUUAGUCCCCUGACUUUUAGCAAGUGAUAGUUUUUGCCCAAUUUUCGAAAAUGUUCACAAAAUUAAGUACUGGUGAACAAUUUUCGAUUAUUAAUGCACAUAUUUUUUCGUGAACAGAAAAUUAUGCAUUCCAACAAGUCUUGGCGAUUCGGAAAGUCAUUUUUCACGAUAACGUCAAAUUUUUUCUACUUUUUUGGAUUUUAAAAUUCAUUGCAUAUAUCAUUUGGGGGGGGGGGCAUAGUAUUUGUUUUUCCAUUCAAGAUCAUUCUCAUGACCAUUUGAAGGUUUUAUAAUCACGUUUUUUAUUAUAAGUAGAGGGAGAAUUUGAUAUGGCCAUUCGAAAUUGGAUUUGUGACUUUUAAAAUUUGAAGAUUUUUGAUGAAGCUUGUGGUAGUAAUAUGAAGGUAACUUUUACAGUAGAAGUUCUUAAUCGAGCUCUUCUAAUGCUUUUACAGAGUAGUAGCCUUUACAGUAGAAGUUCUUCAUCGAGCUCUUCUAAGGCCUUGAUAUAUUUCCAACUUCUAGUAUUUUCUCGAUCAAGUGGCAUUACGAAUCUUAAAUUUGGUUUGUUACAUGACAUUUUUUGUGGCUUAUAUCAUUAGCUUAUUUUAUGAUCAUUGUGACUUGGAGGGGAGUUCUUCAAAGACAAGAACUGAAUUUGUUUCUUAAUUUUGAAAUGGGUUUUUAUGGCGGGUUUGGCUUUCUUGAAGAUCUUUGGGAUUACAUUAGAAUAUAAAGUUUUAAAAACAUUACUUCAGUGCUUGGUUUAUAUAUAUUNCGUUUUUCAAUACUAUUGAAGAAUCAAGAUUCGUGGAUCGCUUUUGAUAUUCCUCGUUGCGAGAUCUUUUCUUAUUUUCUAGACAUUUGUUUUGGAAGUUGAAGUCUUGUCAUCCAUUACAUACUUUGAGGGGGAGAAUGUAGGGUUCAAAGUACUCCAUGGAUUAUGGCAAUGGGCCCCCUUGGUGAAGUGUAGGUUAAAAGCCCAACAAUUGUCUUAUUCCCUAUAUAUUAUCAUGUAUGACUCAUAAUUAGGGUUAAGAGUGAGGCAAACUGUAUCCGCCAAACAUAAGGAGGUUUCUUAUGUAGAGUUAAAUUAUUUGGUCUAUUCUGAAAGUGUAAUUUAUUCCUCAUGUUCAUGAGUAAAUCGAUUAAUUAUUCGACAUAUCUUCAUCAUAAGAUCGUAAUUAGGGUUUUAUCCCAACAGUUCAUCAUUCAACAACCAACAUCAUAAGCAAACUAGGAUAUAGCUUUAUGGUUAUUAUUGACCAAAUCGUUACCAAGGGUAAAAUCGUCCAUAAUUCAUCUACAUCUCCUUCCGAACCUAAAUUUGUGUGAGUCCAAAAUAUAACAAUCUCAAGCAGUAACUUGUUCCCAAUAAUAAACAUUACAAGUACUCCAAUAAACAUUAACCACGAAACAUGAAAUUGAAAUGCUUUUAUUGAUGUAAUAGAAUUGACCUCAUACAUGAUAUUGAUUCAUUUCCAAUUUUCGUCUAUUUAGAUUAUAUUUCUUAUAAGGAACACAAAAUCAUCCAAAUAUGAUCAUUUAAUGGAAUGGAAUGACUUAUUCCAUUUUGUAUUCAUGCAUAUGCUUUUAUAUAUAACUAUAAAUCACAAAAUUGAAAUGUUUUAUAUUGAAAUAACUAUGCAUUUGAUAGAUGUAUGGUAAAUUUUUGUGUUUUAUCCACAAUUAAAAUCUUCAACUCAAUUAUAAUUCAAUUUGUUGUAAUUUGAGUCAUGAUAAUGUGAAAAAAAAACAUCUAUGAGUCUGAUUUUGAAGGUUUAUGUGAAACUAAUAGUAAAAAAACAAUGCAUCAGUACUUUUUUUAGUUAUUAUUAUUUUUUAACAGAGCUUCAACGUAUUGAAAUUUUCUUGAGAUUAAUCUUUGAAGUCAACCAUAAUUCUUGGAGGAAUGAUUUAGUUAUCAACUCUCUUUGUUACUUUAUGGUUCAUAAUCUCAAAAUGAUGAAGGAUUUAAAAGAUUAAAUAAAUUUUAUUGUCCUAAUCUCUAGUACUAGUUAUGAUAUAAACAUGUGCGAUUCCUCAUUUAAUUUAUGUUUAAUCAGAAAAUUGUCUCUACGUUCCUAAUUUAAUCAUAUUAGUUGAUCUUAAGAAGCUUACACUGAUCUGAUAUGAUGGUUAGCAGUUAGUUUGUUGGUUCUCUCCUUAACUAAGUUCUCUUNNNNNNNNNNNNNNNNNNNNNNNNNNNNNNNNNNNNNNNNNNNNNNNNNNNNNNNNNNNNNNNNNNNNNNNNNNNNNNNNNNNNNNNNNNNNAUAUAUAUAUAUAUAUAUAUAUAAGUGAUUGUUAUGUACCUAAGUUUAGGUAUAAAACAUUUGAAACGACUUAGUUUUAAACAAAACAAAACAAAUCCAAUUUCAUUUUCUCUUAAUUUUGUUUUAAUAUAAUACCAUUAAAUUGAGUUAAAUUAUAGAAUGAAAAAGAUCAAAUAUAUAUCUUUUUUUUGCAAAAAAUUCAUUGAAGUUUCUAGGGAAAGUAAAAAACCAAUAUUUUUAAUGAAUAUAACUCAAACAUAUUGUCCUUCAAUUAAAAACAAGACAACACUACAAAAAUGGUCCAUGUGGUAUGCAUUUUCUGGGGGUUCUAGUCCAAACCACGACUUUUUUUUGGCUUCGUGGUUUUUUUGGACUAGUUUGUAUGUGAAAAUAGUCCCUCUGAAAAUUGAAAUGACUAUAAUACCCUUGGGGUAUUUAUUUUUAUUUUUCUUUUAUUUUUUUAAUGGUUUAAUAUUUAUUUAUUUAUUUUAACAAUUAAAAAUAAUAGAGGACCACCUCUCUCUCAAUUUUUAAUCUUCCCAACUAUGGAUUUGGCAUCAAAAUCCUGUUCACACAACCCUGGAGAACCUCCAGGUCAAUCGCAACCUAGAGUUGAGCUACCCAAACCCACCGUCGUUUUGUGCUUGUUCACUUAAACAACCUUGGGGAAAUGUACAAGGAGAAUGGUUGUAACAUCCGGAAUUCCAGGUAUCAUAUUUUAAUUAUUUAUUUUUUUCAAAAGGGGGGUCUCGACGAGUUGACGCCUGGACUCGUCGAGUAGGAUCGCGAUUUGCUGACUGGAUUUAAUGAAGGGACUCGACGAGUCGGGGAGUCAGCUCAACGAGUCCGCGUUAAGGGUAGAAACCCUAAAUCCUCAGGCAUGUGCCCUAUUUAAGGGAUCUUAAGGCCCUCAUUUGCGGCCACCUUCACCCUUAAGAGCACCAGAGAACCAGAGAGCGUACAGAGAGAGAGAGAGAGGAAGCCAUUUUCAUCAUCUCUAGUGUGAUUUUGCAAGGAAGAAGGAAGGAGGGCAAGCUGAACGGCUUUAGGAGCUCAGAUCCGCUACCAUUUUGUCAGAGGAGGCUACUAGAGGUAUGGAUCUAUGCUUAAUCUCAUGUUUAUGGUGAUCUACUUGAAUAUGGGGUUUUCUUUCCCCUUCUUUAGCUUGGAUUCGAAGCUUUUGAGGUCCCAAGGUGGAAUAACUCUUAGAUCUGGACCUUAAGAGGUCCAGAGAGUCCCAUCAAUCCUGCUUUAUGCUAUUCCUUUGGAGAUAUGAACCUAGGGUGCCAUUUCAGAAGCUAUUUCACCAAAAGAUGCAUUAUGGACGUUGCAUGAGUGCCCACAUUGGACCUUUACGUGAUUAUUGAGCAUUGGGAAGUCAGAUCUAUAGGUUAGAGAAACUGAUUUGACCUCAGAAGGUCAUUUGAGCAUGGAUAUGGUAGAAACUCGCCGAGUCCAUAAGAGAACUCGACGAGUCGAGUCGGGGUUGCCCCGCGAUUCAUGACCAGUGUGUCACACCCCCAAACCAAAACGGCAGAAUCGUUCGAGGGCGGAUGACUUCAUGUAGUAUCGAACAGUUGAAUACAUAGUAAAGAAAGUAAACACAACCAACAUAUAUAUAAUUGAAAAAGUUACAUCGUUUGUAGGUAUUACAAGUUCCAAAAUAUCAAUUACAAUAUGUUGUCAAAAUGAAAUUAAACUAACGCCGCAGCGUCCCUUCUUCAAAAGUAGUAGUUUACAUGUAUUACUGAAUCCCUGAGAAAUACAAGUAGUUUUGAAAGAGUAGGUCAGCAUUUAAGCUGGUGAGUUCAUAAGUAUUUAGUGACAAUGUUUGAAUAAAAUCAAAUGAUAUUUGUUUUCAGAUGUUUCAAAAGACUCCUAGGAAUCCAAUAUUUCCCUAUAGUAUAAAAGUAGUCUUGUACAAAGACUCGACUGUUUUGAAGGUUUCUUUUAUAAAUCCAAUAUCCGUUCAUAAGUGUGUGGUAGUUUAAAAGUUCCAACACUGAAAUGCAAUCGUGUUUUUCAUGCCUAGAGUAGUAGAUUUGUGUAAGUAUAAAAGCACUAAGGCAUUUGAUAACCCGGUAAAUCAAUAAGUUCUUAAUACUCCAUGUGAGUUUUAUAACCAUACAAAUGACCCAGACUGCCUGUAACAACGUUCUUCAGGCGUUGAAAUGUUGUGACAUUUGUCACCCCAGGCCUGCGGGCCUAGCUGUAGCUAACAGCUUAGGUGCGGGAUUGUCAAUCCCGUAUAGAUCUAUACACAAGUAUCACGCUCCCCCUACAAGGGAUUAUGGUAUAUAAUACAGGACUUAAAAUGCAUACUCGAAGGUACGUGAAAUGUCUCACAAAACUUAGUAUAAAACAGAUUUACAUAUGAAAAUGUCCAUUUGUUCUUGAAUAUGAAAAUAUCUCUUUGAUAUAGUAUUUCUAGUAUGUAAAUGUUCAUGAUUUCCUCGUAAACUAUACCUAUUAUAGUUAUUCAAAGUGUGUGUUUCGUUCGUAUAGUAAAUCCAAGUGUAAUGCUCACUUGUUAUGUAAAGUAUAACAUCUAAAGUGACAUAAUUGAUCACAUAUACUUAAAGUAUAAAUAAAGGGUUUGAUUCGCAUAUAUAUAAAUAUAUAUAAAUAGGUUUUAUUUCCAAAAGACAAGAUGUUGUCGUGAAUAUAUAUUGCAUACAAAAGUUCCCAUGUAGUAGUUAUGAAUCACAUAUGAUUCACUUGAUAGUAAAGAGUAUAUAUUGAAACUUUAUGUUACACACGAUAAUAACCGUGUGUUUACUUGUAUUUCCCCCCCUUAAAAGUGAAUAAAAAGCAGUGAUAAUCAUUUGAAAGUGUAGUUUAUAGGGGUAUGAACUCACUUGAUUGAUUGGGGAAAACGAGAUGAAAAUCAAGCAGAACUUCGGCUAGUGACAGUCGAUUUUCUCAGGAUUCUCGGGAAUCUCGGGAGUGUAGAACCUUCCUUCGGAACUUGAGUGUGAAAACCGGGGCUUCGGGAGGGCUUCGGAUGCUUAACCGCAGAGUUUCAGCACGAGAGAGGGAAGAAUGGAGUACCUAAACCCGGCACCCCAAGAGUUCUAUUUAUAGGGGGUAUUUUUGAGUUCCACGUCGUGGCUAGGGUUGGACACAUCGUAGGGACCAAUUCUAUCCUCUUCCAUUGAUUGGACGCACUCAGUCACUUGCCGGGUCGUGAUAAAACAAUGCCACGUCGUGGGGAAACCUGACAGCCUCAAAUUUUGGACCCCGAACUUGUAAAAUCCAUAACUUUCGCGUACGAGCACCGUUUUCGACAUUCUUUAUAUGCACGCGUAGCUAAAAACAUGAUAUACAACUCUCGUUUAGACUUCAUCGGAAAAUUUUGACUUUAUUUUUAAUUAUUUAUUUUUAACGGGCCGGGACACGAAAAGUCUGUGUAAAAUCCAUAACUUCUUCAUCCGAUGUCCGUUUUCGUCAGACUUUUCGCCGUUGCGCUACUAAUGUUGAGACCUUCGAUUCUCAUUUAGGUUGUUUUGGUCAAAAGUCUCUCGAGCUCUAUUUCGAGUUUUUAGCUGUCUACUGCUAUAUUCGGAUCUUGGAAAAUCAUAACUUCCUCAUACGAAGUCAGAUUUGGACGUUCUUUUUGUGUACGCUCACGGUUUAAUGUUAUCUAUAACUUUCAUUUAGAUACUUAAGGCUAAAUGCUAUUGUAUUGAAACUUCACAUUUUUCGUUUAAUCGGUGUUGCCGGUUUUGUCGGAAAUCUUAGAAUGGUUAUAACUUCUUCGUUAUAACUCGGAUUUUAGUGUUCUCAGUAUUUCUGUAACCCUUGACACAAUAUCUAACAUAAUAGAUAUUCUUAUAAAGACUUUUUAAAUAUUUCAUUUUCGAAGUAAGUUUUAUUAUUUCAAAGGUAGCUACAAUACUUGACCUUUUAGGUCAUUACAUAAGGUCGAAAUAUCGGGUUGUCACAUCAUCCCCCCGUUAGAAGGAAUUUCGUCCUGAAAUUUAAUGUAACAAAACACUUGUGGAUUAGGGAAAAAGAUGUGGGUAUUUGUGUUUCAUUUGAUCUUCGGGUUCCCAGGUGUAUUCAGGUCCUCGCUUUGCAUUCCAGCGGACCUUCACGAUGGGGAUGCGACUUUGUUUUGUUCUCUUUAUUUCCCUAUCCAUGAUUUCAAUUGAUUCUUCUAUAAAGUGGAGACUCUCGUUGAUUUCGAUCUCUUCUAAAGGGACGAUGAAGGUCUCAUCGUACAAACACUUCUUCAAGUUUGACACAUGAAAUGUAGGGUGUACGUUACUGAGUUCCUGCGGCAGACAAAGUUUGUAGGCUAGCGGGCCGAUCCUUGCGAGGAUCUCGAAUGGUCCGAUAUACCUUGGGUUUAGUUUCCCCUGUUUUCCAAAACGUAUUAACCCUUUCCAGGGUGAGACCUUUAAUAGUACUCGGUCCCCGACCUGAAAUACCAAGGGCUUCCGUCUUUUGUCCGCAUAACUCUUUUGUCUGUCUCUUGAAGCCUUUAGUCGUUCCCGAAUUUGUACAAUCUUCUCGGUUGUCUCUCUUAUGAUUUCUGGGCCAGUGAGAGUGAUGUCGGGUACUUGUCCCUUGGCUAGUUGUGUGUCACCUACUUCAGUCCAGCACAAUGGUGAUCUGCACUUCCGGCCGUAGAGGGCUUCAAAUGGAGCAACUUUAAUGUUGGAGUGAUAGCUAUUGUUAUACGAAAAUUCAAUUAGUGGUAAAUGGGUAUCCCAUGCUUUACCAAAAUCAAUUACACAAGCUCUUAGCAUAUCUUCUAGGGUUUGUAUGGUUCUCUCACUUUGACCGUCGGUUUGUGGAUGGUAAGCAGUACUCAUGUCGAGCCUCGUUCCUAGGGAUUUUUGUAACGAUUGCCAGAAUCGCAAGGUGAACCUACUAUCUCUUUCAGAGAUAAUGGAUAUUGGUACACCGUGCAGUCGUACAAUCUCUCGGAUGUAAGUUCGAGUUAGCUUCUCCAUCUUAUCGGUUUCCUUUAUGGGUAGGAAGUGUGCGCAUUUGGUUAACCUAUCGACAAUUACUCAGAUGGUGUCUAAUCCACCUGUUGUCUUGGGUAAUUUGGUUAUGAAAUCCAUGGUUAUCCGUUCCCACUUCCACUCAGGUAUUUCGGGUUGUUGUAGUAAUCCUGAUGGUUUCUGGUAUUCUACCUUGACUUUGGCGCAAGUCAGACACUUGCCCACAUAGGUAGCUAUCUCUGCUUUCAUGUUCGGCCACCAAUACAGUUUCUUGAGGUCCAGNAUGGUUUCUGGUAUUCUACCUUGACUUUGGCGCAAGUCAGACACUUGCCCACAUAGGUAGCUAUCUCUGCUUUCAUGUUCGUCCACCAAUAUAGUUUCUUGAGGUCUAGAUACAUUUUGUACGAACCUAUAUGCAUGGAGUAUCGAGUCUUAUGCACCUCGUUCAUGACCACGUCUCUGAAUCCACCAAACUUCGGUGUCCAGAUUCGAUCCAUGAAGUAACGAACCCCGUCACCCUUGACUUCAAGAUUCUUGUCCAUUCCUCUUAGGGCUUCACCUACCACAUUUUCUGUUUUCAAGGCUUCCCUCUGAGCUUCCUUGAUUUGUGUGGACAGAUGUGAAUGGAUCGUCAUGGUUAAGGAUUUCACUUGGGGACCUGAGUACUCUUUUCGACUAAGAGCAUUAGCUACUACAUUUGCUUUCCCUGGGUGAUAGCGAAUCUCGCAUUCGUAGUCGCUAAGCAGUUCAACCCAUCGUCUCUGCCUCAUGUUGAGGUCUUUUUGGUUGAGAAUGUGCUGGAGGCUUGUAUGAUCGGUGAAGAUCAUGCAUUUUGUGCCAUAAAGAUAGUGUCUCCAGAUCUUUAGCACGAAAACGACUGCUCUUAGUUCGAGAUCGUGUGUAGUGUAGUUGACUUCAUGCGUCUUGAGUUGUCUUGAGGCGUAAGCGAUGACCUUACCUCUUUGCAUUAGAACGCAUCCAAGACCUUGAUUAGAUGCAUCACAGUAGACCACAAAGUCUUUUGUUCCUUCNAACCACGAAGUCUUCUGUUCCUUCUGGAAAGGACAAAAUAGGUGCGCUGCAUAGUGCUUGCUUCAGUGUUUGGAAUGCAGCGUCUUGUCUUUCGUUCCAAUCGAAAGUUACACCCUUCUGGGUCAGGGUGGUAAGUGGUUUCGCAAUCUUCGAGAAGUUCUGUAUGAACCUUCGGUAGUAGCCAGCAAGGCCAAGAAUUGUCGAAUUUCUGUUGGGGUUCUUGGAGCUGACCAGUUCUCGAUUGCUUUGAUUUUGAACGGGUCCACGUGUAUUCCGUCUUUGCUAACCACGUGCCCUACGAAAUCUACCUUCUGAAUCCAAAAUUCGCACUUGGAGAAUUUUGCGUAUAGCUUCUCUUUUCUUAGCGUUUCCAAAAUUUGUCGGAGGUGUUGACCAUGAUCCUCUUUAGUCUUUGAAUAAAUGAGUAUGUCAUCUAUGAAUACGAUCACAAACUUGCCUAAGAAUGGACGACAUACUCGGUUCAUUAAGUCCAUGAACACCGCUGGAGCGUUUGUUAAUCCAAAGGGCAUUACUACAAACUCGUAGUGACCAUAACGAGUUCGAAAAAAGCUGUUUUGGGAACAUCUCCUUCCAAGACUCGUAGUUGGUGGUACCCAGAUCUUAAGUCGAUCUUUGAGAAAUAACUCGCUCCUUGGAGUUGGUCGAACAAGUCGUCAAUGCGUGGUAAGGGAUAUCGGUUCUUGAUAGUGAGCUUGUUGAGUUCCCGGUAAUCGAUGCACAUGCGGAAAGAUCCAUCCUUCUUCUUUACGAACAAGACUGGUGCUCCCCAAGGUGAGAAGCUCGGCCUGAUGAAACCUUUGUUGAGUAGUUCGUUUAGUUGGCUGGAUAGUUCCUGCAUCUCUGUCGGUGCUAGACAGUAUGGUGACUUGGCUACUGGUGUAGCUCCGGGAAUUAAGUCGAUUCUGAACUCGACUUGACGUUCUGGUGGAACUCCGGGAAGAUCUUCAGGGAAGACAUCGGGAAAAUCGUUGACUUCUGGAAUGUCUCUGAGGCCUUUUGUUUCUUUUUCCUUAUCUACCACGUGGGCUAAGAAGGCAUGGUAAUCUUUACGUAGGUAUUUUUGGGCUUUGACGCAAGAGAUGAUCUGUAAAUUGGUACUGGGUUUGUCACCAUAAAUGACAAGGGUUUCGCCGAUUGGCAGAUUUGGGCGAACGGCCCUUUCGUGACAAAGUAUAUCGGCAUGAUGUAGGCUUAACCAAUCCAUACCGAUGAUGAAAUCAAAGCUCUUUAUAGUGAUCGGUAUUAGAUCGAUUUGAAAUGAGUGUUCGUUUAGCGUUAGUGUGCAGUCUAUGUACAUAUUGUUCGUGCUUUCUGUUAUACCGUUUACCAUUUCUACUGUAAAUAUCUUAUUGAGUGUUUUAGGGUUCUGUUUUAGUACGUGCUUGAAUUUAUGACUCACGAAACUCCUCUCCGCACCACAAUCAAAGAGUAUGCAUGCAUAAACGUUAUUAAGGAGAAACAUACUCGUAACCACUGUGGGAUCAGCUAUUGCUUCGUUCUGCCCUAUUGCCAGCACUCGUCCCGUGCCGCCAGCAUUCCUUGCCUUAGGACAGUCCCUCUUGUAGUGUCCAGCCUCACCACAACCAUAACACGUCUGGCCCACACUGACCCCAGGGACUUGGGUGAUUGGUCGUGCCGGUGCCUUACAGAAACGGGCAGUGUGCCCCUUCUGGUUGCAGUUGUUGCAGUGCAUCUCCCGACAAUUUCCAUUGUGGUGGAAAUUGCACUUGCUGCACUUCGGGAAGUUCCCAGCAUAUCGCUUUACUGGGGUGGGGGUAACAGGAGCAGUAGUGGGGGCAGUAGCGGCAUGGACUGCCACAAUCUGUUGUUUCUUGGAAGGUUCUUGUGAAGGUUGACUCUUCCUUUUGUUCCAGAACCUCUUCUUGUUGUUGUUGUUGGUAUUAUCAUUGUUGUUGUUGCUUACUCUGGGUUGCUCUGGUGCGGUGGUUGCGAAGUUUUGGCAGACCCCAUGGUCCAUGAGAGCUUGUGCCAACUGUUUGGCGCUAUCGAAGGUGAUUGGUCUGGAAGCUAGGACACUUCCUCGAAUUUGGGGUGACAGUCCCCAGAAGUGUGCGCAUUUGGUUAACCUAUCGACAAUUACUCAGAUGGUGUCUAAUCCACCUGUUGUCUUGGGUAAUUUGGUUAUGAAAUCCAUGGUUAUCCGUUCCCACUUCCACUCAGGUAUUUCGGGUUGUUGUAGUAAUCCUGAUGGUUUCUGGUAUUCUACCUUGACUUUGGCGCAAGUCAGACACUUGCCCACAUAGGUAGCUAUCUCUGCUUUCAUGUUCGGCCACCAAUACAGUUUCUUGAGGUCCAAAUACAUUUUGUCCGAACCUGGAUGCACGGAGUAUCAAGUCUUAUGCGCCUCGUUCAUGACCACGUCUCUGAAUCCACCAAACUUCGGUGUCCAGAUUCGAUCCAUGAAGUGACGAACUCCGUCCCCCUUGACUUCAAGAUUCUUGUCCAUUCCUCUUAGGGCUUCCCCUGCCACAUUCUCUGUUUUCAAGGCUUCCCUCUGAGCUUCCUUGAUUUGUGUGGAUNUACCUGGAUCUGAAAUUGAUCUUUGAGAAAUAACUCGCUCCUUAGAGUUGGUCGAACAAUUCGUCUAUGCAUGGUAGGAGAUAUCAGUUCUUGAUAGUGAGCUUCUUGAGUUCCCAGUAAUCGAUACACAUGCGGAAAGAUCCAUCCUUCUUCUUUACGAACACGACUGGUGCUCCCAAAGUUGAGAAGCUCGGCCUGAUGAAUCCUUUAUUGAGUAGUUUGUUUAAUUGGCUGGAUAAUUCCUGCAUCUCAGUUGGUGCUAGACGAUACUGUGACUUAGCUACUGGGGUAGCUCUGGGAAUUAAAUCGAUCCUAAACUCGACUUGGCAUUCUAGUGGAACUCCUGGAAGAUCUUUAGGGAAGAAAUCGGGAAAAUCGCAGACUUCUAUAAUGUCUUUGAUGUCUUUCGUUUCUUUUUCCUUAUCUUCCACGUGGGCUAAGAAGGGAUGGUACUCCUUACGCAGGUAUUUCUGGGCUUUAACGCAAGAGAUGAUUUGUAAAUUGGUACCGGAUUUGUCACCAUAAAUGACAAGAGUUUCGCCGUUUGGUAGAUUAAGGCGAACGACCCUUUCGUGACAAGGUAUAUCAGCAUGGUGCAGGCUUAACCAAUCCAUACCGAUGAUGACAUCAAAGCUCCAUAUAGUGAUCAGCAUUAGAUCGAUUCGGAAGGAAUGUUCGUUUAGAGUUAGUGUGCAGCCUAUGUAAAUAUCGUUUGUGCUUUCUGUUCUACCGUUUGCCAUUUCUACUGUAAAUAUCUUAUUGAGUGAUUGAGGGUUCUGUUUUAGUAAGUGUUUGAAUUUAUGACUCACGAAACUCCUCUCCGCACUACAAUCAAAGAGUAUGCAUGCAUAAGUGUUAUUGAGGAGAAACGUACCCGUAAUCAUCGUGGGAUCAGCUAUUGCUUCGUUCUGCCCUAGUGCCAGCAAUCUUUCUAUGCCUCCAACAUUCCUUGCCUUAGGGAAAUGUCUCUUGUAGUGUCCAGUCUCACCACAACCAUAACACGCCUGGCCCACACCGACUCCAUGAACUUGGGUGAUUGGUCGUGCCGGUGCCUUACAGAAACGGGCAGUGUGCCCUUUCCUGUUGUUGUUGUUGCAGUGCAUCUCCCGAUAAUUUCCGUUGUGAUGGAAAUCGCAUUUUUUGCACUUUGGUAGGUUCCCAGCAUAUUGCUUCGCUGGUGUAGGGGUAACAGGGACAUCAGUGGGGCAGUAGCGGCAUGGACUGCCACUAUCUGUUGUUUAUUGGAAGGCUCUUGUGGAAAUUGACCCUUUAUCUUGUUCCAAAACUUGUUGUUGUUGUUGUUGUUGUUGUUGUUGUUGUUGUUCCCUAUGGGUUUCUCCAGAACGACAGUCGCGAAGCCUUGGUAGAUUUCAUGGUCAAUGAGAGAUUGUGCCAACUGUUUGGAACUAUAGAAAGUGACUGCUUUGGAAGCUAGUACACUUCCUUAAAUCUGGGGCGACAGUCCCUAGAUAUAACUCUCGAUCUUCUUGCUCUCUAGAGCAACCAUCCCCAAGCAAAGGAUUGCCAAAUCACUAAACCUAUUGGUAUAGGUUGUGAUGUCCGAGCCUACCAUAGUAAGGCCCCAAAGUUCCUGAUCGAGCUUUUGUACUUCGCCCCUUGGACAGUACUCUUGCAUUAACAUUUGCUUUAGAUUCUCCAAGCCCAUAGAAUUUGCCACUACCAGUGUUACUGACAUGACAUGGCCAUUCCACCACGUCAGAGCUCUCUCGGAGAAUGUCCAGGCAGCAAACAUUACCUUGCUCCUUUCCAGACAUGAACAGGUCUCGAAAAUCGCUUCUGUUUUCUCUAUCCACUUCGAUAGAGCCAUUAUCCCUCCGGAUGUAUUAAAAGGUAUGGGCUUGCUAUUGGUGAAGUCCUUGUAGGUGCAAUCCCCUGAACGACCCUCAUGUUGGCCAUUCGUAGAGCUAUUUAUCCCCCUCCGGACCCAUUAUUACUCAUUUGUGGCCAUUGCUAUUAUUACUGCAGCUGUUACAGCAGCUAUUAAGAUGGCAUUAUCCAUUGAUGGAGGUGCUGGUGGUGGAGGUGUUGCUUUGUUGACACGGCGUGUAGAUCUAUGGGGCGGCAUCGUGCUGCUAAUGAAAUAAAAUGAAGAGCAUAAGUCUUUAAUGAUUGGGAGCCACAUGUCAACUAGCUAUUUUCCUCAAUUCAUGAAUUUGAUUGACCUACCCAAAGUUUUGAACUUGAUUCAUAAUAAAAGUGUGCAGAAUAAUAGAUAUUUUUAUGAAUCUGAGUGGUAUUCAAAGAAUUAAUACACAAAGGACUUUCUUCAUAUAUAUUAAACAUAUGCUGAGUUACAUUGUGAAGUUAGGAAAAUUUUGACCCUUGUAAGGGUCUCCGAUACAAAAGUUAAAGAAAAGUAAUACUUUUAACCGUGUUCCUAUUCUAUAACAAAAUUUUGGGAUUUGGGCAAGUACUACUUGCGACAUAGGGUGUGCUUGGAGCUCGACUCUGCGUCUGAUUGUUUUGCCUCCAUAAGGCGCCUAUCAAAGGCGGCUUGCUGUUCCCUCAGCUCAGAGAGGGCUGCAAUCAUUUGUGCUUGGAACGCGUCGGCGCGGAGUUGGGUGUCAUCCUGCAACCUAUCCAGCCGGCGGAUGUCAGAAGUAUGCACCUGUACUUCCACAUUGACUUCCCGAAUCCGGCUAGCUUGAACCCCGGAUUGAUAGGACUGGUUGGCUAGCUUGCCCACCAUGACUGGGAGUGCUCGAUCUGCCAAACCUCCGCCGCGGACAUCAUAGAAAUCCCGACACAUGCCGUAGGGAGGACGUAUCCCUUGUUGUUGGCUCCAAUGGUGGAGGUGACUUCCCCAAACGGGAGUCGGUCCCUGAAAGUUUCUCACAAAGACAGGAGGUUGUGCGGGUGGUGGGUUGAUUACCUCUGGUUCUGAGUCUGUCCCAGAGUCAUCCCCUUCAUCCAACUCGAUAGGUUCUUCAUCCUCUUCGGGAUCUUCUUCGACCCAUCCUCCGUUACCUUGGUUGAGAUAGUAGGGGUCUCCGUGUGGAAUGAAUCCAACCAUUUGACUAUACGAGAAUAGGGUUAUAGGAAUUGAACAAAACUUGAAGCAUGUAAAACUAAGCAUGUCGAUUAAACUAUUGCACGUACCAAAUACUCCUAUAGUAUUUAAAUUUGUAUGUUUGAUACUAAUGUUUAUUUUGGUAAGUUUUGACUUGUUGCUCACUACGACCAUUCCUCGACACAUGUUAGUCCAAUCUUGGAUAAAUAUAGUUGAUCAGGCUAUAUUCGUCCCAAAUUCGAUUACAUAUGUCGAGGUCUAAUCGUAGUGUCCAACUUGUCUUAAUACUUCUUGUUGUAUGCAUGUAAUUGUACUUUUACGACCCAAAACAAUCUAAGUUAAAUGAAACAAGGUUUUAGGUGUAAAAAUGUUUUGUCAGAGACUUUGAGUCCCUUUGCAUUUAUAGUUUGUAUAUCUUAUGUGGUUCGAUAUACUUAGUUCACUAUAAACAAUGCUCUGAUACCAAUCUGUCACACCCCCAAACCAGAACGGCGGAAUCGUUCGAGGGCGGAUGACUUCAUGUAGUAUCGAAACAGUUGAAUACAUAGUAAAGAAAGUAAACACAACCAACAUAUAUAUAAUUGAAAAAGUUACAUCAUUUGUAGGUAUUACAUGUUCCAAAAUAUCAAUUACAAUAUGUUGUCAAAAUGAAAUUAAACUAACGCCGCAGCGUCCCUUCUUCAAAAGCAGUAGUUUACCUGUAUUACUGAAUCCCUGAGAAAUACAAGUAGUUUUGAAAGAGUAGGUCAGCAUUUAAGCUGGUGAGUUCAUAAGUAUUUAGUGACAAUGUUUGAAUAAAAUCAAAUGAUAUUUGUUUGCAGAUGUUUCAAAAGACUCCUAGGAAUCCAAUAUUUCCCUAUAGUAUAAAAGUAGUCUUCUACAAAGACUCGACUGUUAUGGAGGCUUAUUUUAUAAAUCCAAUAUCCGCUCAUAAGUGUGUGGUAGUUUAAAAGUUCCAACACUAAAAUGCAAUCGUGUUUUUCAUGCCUAGAGUAGUAGAUUUGUGUAAGUAUAAAAGCACUAAGGCAUUUGAUAACCCGGUAAAUCAAUAAGUUCUUAAUACUCCAUGUGAGUUUUAUAACCAUACAAAUGACCCAGACUGCCUGUAACAACGUUCUUCAGGCGUUGAAAUGUUAUGACAUUUGUCACCCCAGGCCUGCGGGCCUAGCUGUAGCUAACAACUUAGGUGCGGGAUUGUCAAUCCCGUAUAGAUCUAUACACAAGUAUCACGCUCCCCCUACAAGGGAUUAUGGUAUAUAAUACAGGACUUAAAAUGCAUACUCGAAGGUACGUGAAAUGUCUCACAAAACUUAGUAUAAAACAGAUUUACAUAUGAAAAUGUCCAUUUGUUCUUGAAUAUGAAAAUAUCUCUUUGAUAUAGUAUUUCUAGUAUGUAAAUGUUCAUGAUUUCCUCGUAAACUAUACCUAUUAUAGUUACUCAAAGUGUGUGUUUCGUUCGUAUAGUAUAUCCAAGUGUAAUGCUCACUUGUUAUGUAAAGUAUAACAUCUAAAGUGACAUAAUUGAUCACAUAUACUUAAAGUAUAAAUAAAGGGUUUGAUUCGCAUAUAUAUAAAUAUAUAUAAAUAGCUUUUAUUUCCAAAAGACAAGAUGUUGUCGUGAAUAUAUAUUGCAUACAAAAGUUCUCAUGUAGUAGUUAUGAAUCACAUAUGAUUCACUUGAUAGUAAAGAGUAUAUAUUGAAACUUUAUGUUACACACGAUAAUAACCGUGUGUUUACUUGUAUUUCCCCCCCUUAAAAGUGAAUAAAAAGCAGUGAUAAACAUUUGAAAGUGUAGUUUAUAGGGGUAUGAACUCACUUCAUUGAUUGGGGAAAACGAGAUGAAAAUCGAGCAAAACUUCGGCUAGUGACAGCCGAUUUUCUCAGGAUUCUCGGGAAUCUCAGGAAUCUCGGGAGUGUAGAACCUUCCUUCGGAACUUGAGUGUGAAAACCGGAGCUUCUGGAGCUUAACCGCAUAGUUUCAGCACGAGAGAGGGAAGAAUGGAGUACCUAAACCCGGCACCCCAAGAGUUCUAUUUAUAGGGGUAUUUUUGAGUGCCACGUCGUGGCUAGGGUUGGACACGUCGUGGGGAGCAAUUCUAUCCCCUUCCGUUGAUGGGACGCCCUCAGUCACUUGCCGGGUCGCGGCAAAACAGUGCCAAGUCGUGGCAAGCCUGAUAGCCUCGAAUUUUGGACCCCGAACUUGUAAAAUCCAUAACUUUCACGUACGAGCUCCGUUUUCGACGUUCUUUAUAUGAACGCGUAGCUAAAAAUAUGAUCUACCACUCUCGUUUAGACUUCAUCGGCAAAUUUAGAUUUUAUUUUUAAUUAUUUAUUUUUAACGGGCCGGGACACGAAAAGUCCGUGUAAAAUCCAUAACUUCUUCAUCCGAUGUCCGUUUUCGUCAUACUUUUCGCCGUUGCGCUACUAAUGUUGAGACCUUCGAUUCUCAUUUAGGUUGUUUUGGUCAAAAGUCUCUCGAGCUCUAUUUCGAGUUUUUAGCUGUCUACUGCUAUAUUCGGAUCUUGGAAAAAUCAUAACUUCCUCAUACGAAGUCAGAUUUGGACGUUCUUUUUGUGUACGCUCACGGUUUAAUGUUAUCUAUAACUUUCAUUUAGAUACUUAAGGCUAAAUGCUAUCGUAUUUAAACUUCGCAUUUUUCGUUUAAUCGGUGUUGCCGGUUUUGUCGGAAAUCUUAGAAUGGUCAUAACUUCUUCGUUAUAACUCGGAUUUUAGUGUUCUCAGUAUUUCUGUAACCCUUGACACAAUAUCUAACAUAAUAGAUAUUCUUAUAAAGACUUUUUACAUAUUUCAUUUUCAAAGUAAAUUUCAUUAUUUCAAAGGUAGCUACAAUACUUGACCUUUUAGGUCAUUACAUAAGUUCGAAAUAUCGGGUUGUCACACAGUGGUAACCCGUCGAGUGGAAGGUUCACUUGAUGAGUUUAGUGAGGCCUUAGAAGGAUUCAGUGGACACUCUUGGACUCGCCGAGUCACCCAUGUGCACUCAACGAGUCUGGCCAAAGUUUGAUCGAUGACUAUCAUUGACUUCAGUUGACCUUAGGGUUUUGGUCAAGCUGGUUCAAGAGAGGUCAGGACAGGGUAAAAUGGUCUUCUACCCAUCCUUUAGAAGUGAGGGCAUGAGAAAGUAUUGAUUAGAGAUGUUAUUAUGUUAAUAGGAGGAGGCUAGGUCGGGUUAUGGGGCGCGAGAGAUUAUCCGACAUCGUACGAGGUGAGUCUUCUCACUAUACUUUACCUAGAGUGGUAAUUAUGUGUGACCGGAAGGUCUUAUGUGCUACGAAUAGAAUGCGAUGUAUGUUGUUAUAUGAUAUGUAUGUGCUAUGUAUGUUAUGAGCAUUAUGAUAUGGAUCGGAAGGUCAACGGUGUAUGGACCCGAAGGUCAAGAUGAUGAGGACCGGAAGGUCAUACGUGUAGGGUCGGAAGGUCUACCAGGGUUCGGAUGGAAGUCCCCUGAGACACAUGGAUCGGAAGGUCCCAUAGAGUUAUGGCCUUGAGUGGUGUAUGUGUUACAUGUGGUAUUUUGGGGAACUCACUAAGCAUUUAUGUUUACCGUGUUAUGUGAUAUGUGUUUCAGGUACUAGCGAGGAUCGCGGGAAGGCGCCGGCAUGAUCUGUACACACUGAUGAAGAUUUAUGUACUUGAGAUUCUGGGGUUGUUUAUUGAGAUAAUUUGUGAUACAAUGGAUUUUAUUAUGAAUGAAAUUAUGUUUUAAAAAUGAAAUUUUGUUUUGGAAAUUCACGUUGUUACAAGUUGGUAUCAGAGCUUUGGUUUGAGGGAUUCGGAUGCACCUUCGGGUGUAUUUGAACUCAAACUGAGGAUUUGAGAAAACUUUUCAUAAAAGAAACAAUUUUUUUCUAGAAAGUAAAGGAAUUUGAGGAAAGCGGAAAGAAGCAGUGUGUACGAUCAGCCAGCGCUCGAACAGUGAUUUCCCAAAAUACCCUUACAUUAUGUGUUAUGAGAUAUGAUAUGAUAUGUUAUGCAUGCUAGAGUACGUAGGUAUUCAUAUUAGGACUAGAGUGGCCUGAUUUGUGAUGCCUUAACCUAGGAGAUUACUGCUACUAUGAGAUGCUUCGAGAGUGAGUAGGUAGCAGUGAGGAGCUUAUAAGAAGUCUAUCGAAGGGUAGCCUAUGCUUAGCGAGAUGUAGAAUACUUGUGAUCUGGGAUCCUAGGAGGAGGACUUGGAAUGAAUGUUGAUGCGGUGUGAAAGGUAUUAUAGGGCCCGUACUACUAAAAACACCGGACCAGUGCGCAAUCCAAGUAAGAAUCCUUAGGGUACUAGGGAACAAGUAGGGUUGAGUUAUCGAGUGUGAACUCGAGUGAGUCUCUAAUAUUUUAUGUUGUAUUUCAGAGACAUCAUGGUUGGGACACGCCACAGACCAGAGACCAGCGGCAUGAGUGACGAGGAGCUUCAUCAGAUGAUCCACAAUGUGGUGGCUGCGGCUAUCCGCGCAGAGAUACCGUAGAUGUUUGGGUCUAUCAAUACCACCCUGAUUGAGACGUUUGAUGAGAGAUACACAGCGGUUACUGAGGCUGUGGCUGCUGCAGCUACUGCAGCUGUGGCUGCUGCUAGACCUCAGGGGGUGACUUGUUGUUGUUCUGAGAGUUCAGCAACACGAAGCCACCAGAGUUUGUUGGGACGCAGGGUCUGAUUGCUGCGAUGAGAUGGAUUUUGAUAUUGAGGGAUGCUUCUACACCUGUUCGUGUCCGGAGCAUCUAAGGAUUCGGUUUGCGCUGAACCAGCUUCACUUAGGAGCGAAGGACUGGUGGAAGUUUGUGACGGAAAACUUCACUCUUGCAUAGAUCUUAGAGGUGACCUGGGAGAGGUUCACCACCAUGUUUAGAGACGAGUAUGUUCCCUCGGUGGAGAGGGAACGGUUGGCACAGGAGUUCUUGUCCCUCAAGCAGAGGACGGAGUCUGUGACUAUGAUUAGAAGGUAGUUUCACGAGAGGGCGUUGUUGUUCCCUGAGCACGUGUCGUCUGAGCAGCCACGCAUGAGAUGGUAUUUGAGCAUUCUAAGGAGGGACAUUCGGGAGUUCGUGGUGAACUCGACUUACCAAGCAUUUACUGAGCUCCAUGCAAAUUCCUAAAAGAGGGAGAUUAAGCUAGAGACUCAGGCCACGGAAGAGGCCGAGUCUCAGGGGAAGGAUAGGCGGCCGGUACAGUCUCAACUGGCAGCCAAGCGGGCUAAGUCCGUUGAUACGAGAUCUAGAGGCCAGAAGGGUCACACUUGUGGGAAGUGCGACAAGGGACAUGAUGGAGUGUGUCGAGCGGGUGCUUGCUACAAAUGUGGCAAGGAGGGGCAUAUAGCCAAGGACUGCCCCAAGGGAUUUAUGGUUUGCUUUCAUUGCAACCAAAUGGGUCACCGAAAGGCUGAGUGCCCACAACUGUUACAGAGAUCUGUCCCUGCUACUACACGAGCUAUUGAGGGUCGGCCAGUGAAGGUCGAGGCACUGAAGGCUCGCAAGAGAGCCCUCCAGUUGACAGCGUAGGAGGUCUGUGCAGCACCCGAUUUCGUGGCUGGUAUGUAUUAUUUCAUUUAUUUAUGCUGAGUUGAGAUAUUGUGCUUAUAUUAUGAUAUGCGUAGGUACUUUUCUUGUGAGCUCGGUGCCUGCUUUGGUGUUAUUUGACUCGGGUGCGAGUCGAUCAUUUGUUUCGUUAUCGUUUAGUCAACACAUCAGUAUUCGACGAGAGGCGUUGAGUCGACCUCUAUGACUUUUCAUAGCUGACGAGCGAGCGGUGUAUGCUACUAACGUGAUUCGAGGAUGUGUACUCGAGAUCUUUAGUGUUGAGUUCCCGAUACAUCUAGUCCCGAUUGCGAUGGGGGAUGUUUGCGUUAUAGUGGUCAUGGAUUGGUUGAGCCAAUUUUAGGCAAUUAUAGACUGCGAGCGGCAGAUGGUGACGAUACGAGACCCUAGUGGCGAAGGUACCCAAUGUGGGUCAGCAUUUUGUUCGGCUACCAGAGUGAGACAGAAUUUACAAUAGGGCUGCAACGGGUUUGUAGUUUAUGUGAUGGAUACACGAGUGGCCUCUAAGAGGUCGAGUUCGGUUGAUGAUGUUUCGAUAGUGUGUGAGUUCCCGGAUGUUUUUCUCGAGGAGUUGUCGGGUGUGCCUCCCAAGAGGCAGGCAGAGUUCCGCAUCGAUUUGGUUCCAGGAGCAGCGCCUAUCGCCAAGGCACCUUAACGCCUUGCACCGCCAGAGAUGCAUGAGUUAUCCUCGCAGCUACAGGAGUUGCUGUGGAAAGGGGUUUAUUCGACCGGGUAGCUCGUCGUGGGGAGCGCCGAUCCUUUUUGUCAAGAAAAAGGAUGGUUCACACCGGAUGUGCAUUGACUACCGGGAGUUGAACAAGUUAACGAUCAAGAACCGUUAUCCAUUACUGAGGAUCGAUGAUCUGUUCGAUCAGUUGCAGGGAGCAUCUUGGUUCUCCCAGAUUGACCUGAGGUCUGGAUAUCACCAGAUGAGGGUGUAUGAUGAGGAUAUCUAGAAGACGGCGUUUCAGACUCGUUAUGGGCACUACAAGUUCGUGGUGAUGCCUUUUGGGCUCACCAAUGCACCAGCAGCGUUCUUGGAUCUCAUGAACAGAGUAUGUAGACCGAUGUUGGAUAGAUCGGUGAUUAUGUUCAUUGACGAUAUCCUGGUGUAUUCGAGAUCUAGAGAGCAUCAUGAGGAGCAUUUGAGAGAGAUUCUUGUAGUUUUGAGUUCAGAGAGGCUUUACGCCAAAUUCUCCAAGUGUGAUUUCUGGUUACGAGAGGUCCAGUUCUUGGGACACCUCGUCAACCAUAAUAGGAUAUUGGUCGAUCCGGCCAAGAUUGAGGCGGUUAUGAGCUGGGAGGUGCCGAGAUCCCCUACCAAGAUCAGGAUUUUUCUAGGGUUGGUCGGCUACUAUCGGAGAUUUAUCAAGGAUUUCUCCAAGAUUGUCGUGCCUCUUACCAGGAUGACCCGGAAGGGCGUUGCUUGUACGUGCGGUCUAGAGCAGCAGACCUCGUUUAAGACUCUUCGCAAGAGAUUGUGCGAAGCCCCGGUGUUAGCCCUUCCAGAGGGAAUGGAGGAUUUCAUGGUGUAUUGUGACGCAUCGAUAUCAGGGUUGGGUGCGGUGCUUAUGCAGAGAGGACACAUGAUAGUGUACGCCUCGAGGCAGCUGAAGCCUCAUGAGGUGAGGUAUCCCACCCAUGAUUUGGAGUUAAGGGCCGUAGUGUUCUCCCUCAAGAUAUGACGUCAUUAUUUGUAUGGGGUUCGGUGUAUCACAUACACGGAACACAAGAGUUUGAAGUACUUGAUGGAUCAGCCCAACCUGAACAUGCGCUAGAGGAGAUGGUUGGAUGUGGUAAAGGAUUAUGACUGCGAGAUCAUGUACCACCCGGGAAAGGCUAAUGUUGUAGCCGAUACCCUGAGCCGUAGGGCGGGUAGUGCCUCGGUACGAGAUAUUUAUAUGAGGAUAACGGUGAUGACUCAGGUGUUGGAUACCAUCCGAGAGGCCCAGACAAAGGCUAUGAGACCAGAGAACCACAAGAGAGAUCGGGUCAUUGGGCAGGUACCUGAGUUUGUUACCGAUAGCCAAGGGCUUAUGGCCUUUCAGGUUCGGAUGUGGGUGUCGUAUACGGGCGGGGCACGUACCAUCCUAAUGGAGGAGGCACACAGAUCGAGGUUCUCGAUCCAUCCUGGGGCUACUAAGAUGUAUUUGGACCUGAAGAGAGAGUAUUGGUGGCCCUGUAUAAAGAUGGAUGUGGCGUGGUUUGUUGAGAGGUGCUUGACCUGCCGCAGGGUUAAGGCCGAGCACCAAUGUCCGCAUGGCAAGUUGCAGCCACUUGAGGUUCCCCAGUGGAAGUCGGAACAAAUUUCCAUGGAUUUCAUCACCAAAUUGCCGAGGAACGCGAGGGGUGUCGAUGCAAUUUGGGUGAUCGUUGACCGGCUAACGAAGAGCACUCACUUCCUUGCUAUCAAUGAGAGCUCUUCCGCGGAGAGGCUGGUGGAGAUGUACGUUAGGGAGGUAGUGUCGCGGCACAGGGUGCCAAUCUCGAUUGUGUCAGAUCGAGACGUGUACUUCACUUCCAGGUUCUGGAAGAAAUUCCAUGAGGAUUUGGGUACGAGGUUGCAUUUCAACACUGCUUACCACCCACAGACGGAUGGACAGAGUGAGCGUACGAUUCAGACGCUCGACAAUAUGCUUCGAGCAUGUGUGUUGGACUUCGAUGGAAGUUGGGACACGUACCUACCAUUGGCUGAGUUUUCCUAUAACAACAGCCACCAUUCGAGUAUUGGUAUGCCUCCCUUCUAGUUGUUGUAUGGGACAAGGUGUAGGACUCCCAUCUGCUGGGGAGAGGUGGGGCAGCGAGUGAUGGGUAGCACUGAGAUAGUGCUUUAGACGACUGAGCAGAUACAGUAGUUCAGACAAAGGUUGCUGACAGCUCAGAGUCUUUAGAAAAGCUAUGCAUAUAGGCGACGAUCCGAGCUCGAGUUUCAGGUUGGUGACUUCGUACUCCUGAAGGUAUCUCCUUGGAAAUGAGUGAUCCGAUUCAGGAAGAGGGGCAAGCUGGGGCCCCGGUACAUCGGUCCUUUCACGAUGACCGCGAGGGUGGGCAGGGUAGCGUAUCGUUUGGAGCUACCUGCAGAGUUGAGCCAGAUGCAUGAUACCUUCCACGUGUCUCAGUUGAGGAAGUGUAUAGCCGACAAGUCGGCAGUAGUGCCACUAGAGGAUAUUCAGGUGGACGCGAGCUUGAAUUAUGUUGAGAGGCCGAUCGCGAUCCUGGAUCGGAGGAUCAAGGUUCUUAGAAACAAGGAAGUGCCCCUGGUUCAGGUCCAGUGGCAACAUCGGAGAGGGUCCGAGCCGACUUGGGAGCCGGAGUUGGAGAUGCAGGAGCAGCAUCCAGAGUUGUUUGCAGAGCGAGACUUAGAGGCCGAAGUCUGAUUCUAGUGGGGGAGAAUUGUAACAUCCGGAAUUCCAGGUAUAAUAUUUUAAUUAUUUAUUUUUGUCAAAAGGGGGGACUCGACGAGUUGACGCCUAGACUCAUCGAGUAGGAUCGCGAUUUGCUAACUGGAUCUAAUGAAGGGACUCGACGAGUCGGGGAGUCAACUCGACGAGUCCGUGUUGAGGGCAGAAACCCUAAAUCCUCAGGCCUAUGCCCUAUUUAAGGGAUCUUAUGACCCUCAUUUGCGGCCACCUUCACCCUUGAGAGCACUAGAGAACAAGAGAGCGUAAAGAAAGAGAGAGAGAGAGAGAGAAAGAGAGAGAGAGAGAGAAAGAGAGAGAGAGAAAGAGAGGAAGUCAUUUUCAUCAUCUCUAGUGUGAUUUUGCAAGGAAGAAGGAAGGAGGGCAAGCUAAACGGCUUUAGGAGCUCAGAUCCGCUACCAUUUUAUCAGAGGAGGCUACUAGAGGUAUGGAUCUAUGCUUAAUCUCAUGUUUAUGGUGAUCUACUUGAAUAUGGGGUUUUCUUUCCCCUUCUUUAGCUUGGAUUCGAAGCUUUUGAGGUCCCAAGGUGGAAUAACUCUUAGAUCUAGACCUUAAGAGGUCCAGAGAGUCCCAUCAAUCCUGCUUUAUGCUAUUCCUUUGGAGAUAUGAACCUAGGGUGCCAUUUCAGAAGCUAUUUCACCAAAAGAAGCAUUAUGGACGUUGCAUGAGUGCCAAGAUUGGACCUUUACGUGAUUAUUGAGUAUUGAGAAGUCAGAUCUAUAGGUUAGAGAAACAGAUUUGACCUCAGAAGGUCAUUUGAGCAUGGCUAUGGUAGAAACUCGCCGAGUCCAUAAGAGAACUCGAGGAGUCGAGUCGGGGUUGCCCCGCGAUUCAUGACCAGUGGUAACCUGUUGAGUGGAAGGUUCGCUUGACGAGUUGAGUGAGGCCUUAGAAGGAUUCAAAGGACACUCUUGGACUCGUCGAGUCACCCAUGUGCACUCGACGAGUCGGGUCAAAGUUUGAUCGUUGACUAGCGUUGACUUCAGUUGACCUUAGGGUUUUGGUCAAGCUGGUUCAAGAGAGGUCAGGGCGGGGUAGAAUGGUCUUCUACACAUCCUUUAGAAGUGAGGGCAUGAGAAAGUAUUGAUUAGAUAUGUUAUUAUGUUAAUAGGAGGAAUCUAGGUUGAUUUAUCGGGCGCGAGAGAUUAUCCGACAUCGUACGAGGUGAGUCUUCUCACUAUACUUUACCUAGAGUGGUAAUUAUGUGUGACUGGAAGCUCUUAUGUGCUACGAGUAGAAUGCGAUGUAUGUUGUUAUAUGAUAUGUAUGUGUUAUGUAUGUUAUGAGUAUUAUGAUAUGGAUCGGAAGGUCAACAGUGUAUGGACCGGAAGGUCAAGAUGAAGAGGAUUGGAAGGUCAUAAGGGUAGGGCCGGAAGGUCUACCAGGGUUGGGAUGAAAGUCCCCUGAGACACAUUGAUCGGAAGGUCCCAUAGAGCUAUGGCCUUGAGUGGCGUAUGUGUUGCAUGUGGUAUUUUGGGGAACUCACUAAGCAUUUAUGGUUACCGUGUUAUCUGAUAUGUGUUUCAGGUACUAGCGAGGAUCGCGAGAAGGCGCCGGCAUGAUCUAUACACACUGAUGAUGAUUUAUGUACUUGAGAUUCUGGGGUUGUUAAUCGAGAUAAUAUGUGAUACAAUGGAAUUUAUUAUGAAUGAAAUUAUGUUUUAAAAAUGAAAAUUUGUUUUGGAAAUUCACGUUGUUACAACGGUGGCUCUGUAUCAGAUGAAACCGCUAACGAAACAUCAACAUCCUUCUGCUUCUGAAUAUACUCAGACCCGGUGCAAGUGCACGCCUCUGUUUUUCCUCUCAAAUCACCUGCCGGAGUAGUCACCGAAAAACCCUAAAAUUUUCCAUUCCUACACUAAUGGAGUUCAAAUCAGGAUUCAAUGUGCAGCUGAAGCAAAGUCAAGUCCAAGCCAGUCUUCAAUGGCGAUGUGAUAAGAACAAGCCUUCAAUUAAAUAAUGUGUUCAGGCCCCAGAUUGUGGAUUCCACUCUAAAACCUGCAACUACUUCCAGUGAGUUUUUUUCUUUUUCUUUGAAGAUCUUUUGUAUGGAGAAAAAUUGAAUCUCAUGAACUCCCCCCCCCCCUGAAGAUUGUUGUGAUCGUUGCUGCCUUUCCCCCUUUCAUCUUCCAUUUCUUCUUCGUUCCCUAGCCUGAACCCACCACCGAAGUGGGUGUUUCCCCGGAGCAAACAUCGGAGGCAGCAACCCCCUUUUGAUUCCCCACCUUCGCACCUUCCUUUCGAGACAGAAGAAGCACAGGAGCUGCUUAAGCAGCCCUUGCUGCUUUCGUUACUCCCAGCUACAAACCAAUAAGGCAUCGGAGGUGCUCUUCUUCUCAACGAGUCUUCCACCACCGAUACUUCCCUGUCACUUCCUCGUUCGUGAUUAUCCUUCUCGAUCAGAUGAAAACCAAAUAUCGGAGGUCCCUUUCCCCGUCGCCGGCAGCAUAAGCUGCCCCCAUUCUCCUAUUUCAUUUCUCGAUAUAUGAAUCAUUGGAGGCGGUUGAUUAAAAUAAAUUGCUUUAGGGUUCUUAUUCGGAAUGAAAAAAACAAAUUAAAAGGAGAGAGAGAGAGAGAGAGAGAGAGAGAGAGAGAGAGAAAGACUUUUAUUUUUUUAAUUAGUUAAAUAAAUAAAUAAGUAUUUAGAUUUUAAAAAAAUGAAAGAAAUGAAAAAUAAAAAACAUUAGGGUAUUACAGUCAUUUCACUAUUCAGAAGGACCACAAACGCAAAGAAACAAGCUCAAAAAGACCACGAAGCCAAAAAAAAUCAGGGUUUUGACUAAAACCCCCAAAAAAAUGCAUACCACAGAGACUAUUUUUGCAAUUUUGUCUAAAAACAAUAUCCAAUGAUUUGUGAAAACCUUGAUUGAGUUAUUGCACGUUUUUCUUUUAUCUUUUAUUCUAUUUGUUUUCAUUUAAAAUUUAGUAGGGUUGAUUAAAUUGUCAUGAUUUUAAUGUUUUAAGUUCUUAGAUACAAUGAAGAAAAGAUAUAUAAAUUUGAUUAGAAAUGUAGCAAGUCACGUGAUUAAGGAAAAAUACUAAGUGAGAUAUCAUGAUUAGUUUGGUAUAUAUUGAUCAAAAUUAUAUAGUUUGGAAGGUUUUAUAUAUAAGCUUAGGUACAUAACAACCAUAUAUUUCUUCAGUCGAGGUUUUCACAAAUCUUUGAAUAUAGUUUUUCAAUUAAAGAAAAAAAACAUUUGAGUUAUAUCGUUAAAAAUGUAUUUGUUUUUUACUUUCCUUAUAAAUUUCAUUAAUUUUUUUUGCAAUAAAAAGAUAUAUAAUUGAUCUUUUUCAUUCUAUAAUUUAACUCAAUUCAAUGGCAAUAUAUUAAAGCAAAAUUAAGAGAAAAUAAAAUAUAAUUUAUUUGUUUAAAACUAUGUCGUUUAAGAAAAGUUUUAUACCUAAACUUAGUUACGUAACAGUCACAUAUUUAUUUUUCCAAAAUAUAUAUAUAGUUUUAUAAUAACAUUAUUUAUAAAAUAUAUUAAAAUUAUAUUUUUAAACGAAAAAUAAAGUAGAGUUAAAUAUAAAAUUGGGUUAGAGAUAUCUUUAUAUGUGUAACCACCAACUCCAAUUAGAAAAUGUGAGGGAACAAAUCGAUGAUUUGACAUAUGAAAGUGGAUGGCUUGCAUGCUUGUAUUCUUAUCCCCCAAACACAAUAAUUUAUUUAGACAAAAGAGACAAAUGAUAUUAGGUGUAACCUUAAUUUGGUCACUUUUGUCUUCAACUAAUUCCAUUUCAUCAUAAAUUGUAAAUACUUUGCGAGUACGAUUACAGGUCAAGUAUAUUAAAUCAUUGCUCUUUCAAAAAAAAAGUAUACUAAAUCAUUUAUUUGAAAUUUAAGUUUUUUAAUUGAUAUAUGGUUUAUUAAGAAAAUCCAUGAUAAUAGAACUUUUUCUUUAAUCCUUUUCCUAAGUAUCAAUUCAACAAUUCGAAAAAUUCAACGAAUAAGCGAGAUUUUUUCAUUAACAUAUCUGUAGUACUUGUCAUAUCCUUUUAUGAUUUUUUUUGCUUAAGUUGGUCAAUUAAAAACAUUUAACAAGAACUUAUCGACUGUAACUUGGAAGAGCAUAAAACCUGCCGGAAUCCUUGAUUCUUGUACAGCAACAUACACUAAUUCACAGUUUAAGCCAUCCAUCCACUUUCACAAGACUUUUUUUUUUUCAUAAAUUCGUGGCAUUUGGUUUAGAAUCUUUGAAUAUUCAGAAAAUUCCACCGACCAUUAAUUGAAGGCCACACAUUAAACUAUUACAUUACAAAUAAAAGAAAAAGUAAUUUGUAAUUAUUUAAACAGGUUUAUGAGACGCCACUUAUUUAUUAUUAUUAUUUUUAUGUUGCUUAAUUAGUUUUAUUUGUUUUACGUGAGCUGAGUAUAUAAAUGACAUAAUCUAGCGACAUAUACAUUUAUUAGUAACUUAAAAGUUUGUUUGCUUUUUUUUUCCUUUUUUAUUUAUUUUAUUUUAUUUUAUUUUAACAAAACAUAGAAAUACUGGUAUCAAAUUCAAUGUAAUCUUUAUUUUGAAGUCAAAUAAAAUAUAAUCAUAAUCAUAAAAUGACAAUAAAUUUUUUGAGUUUAUCUCUUUAUAACUAAUUUUUAUACAAUUUACAGAAAUGGAUCAUAAUGUUUGAAAUAGAUUUGAAACUAAUUUUUACACAAUUUGUAAAAAUAAUCGGAUAAGUGGGGCUUUGUUUCAAAGUUACAUCAAAAAUAUAUUUUGUAAUACAAUAUAUGUUGGAUUUCGGACAAAAAAAAACAAAUAUUUUGAAAUUUCAAGAACAUAUCUAAAAUCCGAAAAUUUAAAAGCAUGUUUUGAUUUUUAUUAAAUUUCAACGAAAAUUUAAAGAAAUGUAACAAAAAAAGGUAGUAAAAUACAAUAUAAUGACAUAAACGGUGCAACCAAGAAGUUCAAAUAUAUAUAUAUAUAUACACAUAUACACANNNNNNNNNNNNNNNNNNNNNNNNAUAUAUAUGAAUGAUCAUUUGAGAAUCUAUAGUUUCCCGAGAACCCGAGAACCAAAUAAGCACAGUUAGAUCAAAAUAAUAGAAGGUCAAGAUGAUUUAUGACAUUUUUGUAAAUAAAUGGAAAAAUUAAACACGGUGGUAUGGUGCUGAAAUUAAUCGAAAGGCAUUUAUGGUACUAAAUUCAUAUCAUCAUCUCCACUAAAUCAAUCGAUGUCAUCUUUCUCCCUAAUUCUUCAAUCGUCUGAUCAUCCUUAUUUCUCUCACACACACAUACACACAUCUUCAUUCUUCACUCCUCGCCGUCAGACUCUGUCAUUUAACUUCGUAGUUGAUUCAUCGAUUACCGGAUCCGCCUCCUCAAUUGACCCCCUGCGAAGUUGAAAUCGGAACAAAGCCAUCGAUUGCGACGAUUGAGACGAUGUCUAACCCGAUUACGUGAAAAAUGAAUUGAAAGCAUACACAAAGCAGAUUCUCGAUUUGAAUCUUGCAGAUGUUAAUUUGAGGAACGGACGGUUGCCUUUAUUAAUUGACAUCAGAUUGUCGUCGACGUUGCCUCCACCACCAUACCAUCGCCACGGCCGCCACUUCUCUUUAAUUCAAUUUGCAAUACACUACGAUACAGGUAUUUGUACACAUUUAUCAAUAUUUACUUACACAUGUAUACAUAAUAUCAUACAUACUACAAUUUCCCCAUUUUUGUAUUCCGCCUUAUUACUGGAUGUCUGUUUUUGAUCAAACAAUUCACCUGUUACGAACCGAUAACUCGCCGUUCUAGUCUAUACAUACGUUUCACUAUUUUGUUAUGAGUACGGAAUGUGCACAUAACAUGUUUGAUGAAUUGCCACUCAAUCAAAAUCUUGGCUAGUUCAUUUAUAUCUAGAAUGAAAUCAUUCCAGUAGAACACACACACAUUUGAGAACUGUAUCCUGUGUAUUUUUCAGAGUAUUAGCUACAAAGGGUGGUAGAUAUGGAAUUCUGCCCGACUUAUGGGAUGUUGUUGAAGUAUGAGUUGCCAAAUUUGCAUCUUCCUGCUAGAUUUUUCUGCCCCACAUGUCCAUAUGUUGGCCAAAUAGAGCAGAAGGUAAUAAAUUUAUCAAUUUAUCAUACUCAAUCAUGCAAUAUUGCAACACAUUUUUUUCCUUUUCCUUAUUGUUAAAUGCAUCUUUUUCUUCCCUUUUAUAGGUCGGAUCAAAAGAAAGCAAUGUUUGGUUAAAAAGGAGAUUGACCCCAUCAUCACCCAAGAUGACAUGAAGAAUGCACCAAAAAUAGAUCAAGGUAUUUAUAUGCUUCACAAUUUGAAUAAAUUGGUGCACUUUUUCUUUUUGCAACUUUAAUUUAUGAUGUUCUUUGUCUCUUGUAGCCCGGAUUGUGGUCACAACAAGGUUGCAUACAUCAAGUUUCAAACAAAGCCAGCUAAUGAACCCCUGACAAUAAACUUCACCUGUGAGAAAUGUGGGAAAUGUUGGCGUGAGGACUAAAAUUCAAACCAAGGGAAACCUGCAUUUUUUUGCCUCAAAUAUUGAAUCAAAGUGUUUCUAUUAUACUUUUGGUACUAAUGAAAUAAAGGUAUGAUUUUGUUUAUCUGUUUUACCUUUUUGCUAACAAACAUGAAUCUACAAAUGCUACUAAAAUUCAGAAUUCAGCUUCAUGGUUCAAAAGAUGAGGAAAAAAAGGUCCAUUUAUCAGAUAUUGUGAUUUACAUGUGAAUCACUUGUGAUUUACAUGUGAAUCACUUGUGACACAUGUGAAUCAUUUGUAAUUUACAUGUGAAUCACAUGUAAUUCACAUGUAAAUCAUCUUAAUUAUUUAUUCUUUCUAACCAAAUAGUUUAUUUUAACUCCUAAUAUAUUGAGCUUCAUGAAUCACUUGUGAUUACAUGUGAAACACUUGUGAUUUACAUGUGAAUCACUUGUGAUUCACAUGUGAAUCACUUGUGACACAUGUGAAUCAUUUGUGAUUUACAUGUGAAUCACAUGUAAAUUAUCUUAACUAUUUAGUUUUUCUAACCAUAUAGUUUAUUUUAAUUUGUUUCAUUUUAGCAAUAUAUCACAAGUGAAUCACAUAUGAAUUACAUGCGAUUCACAUAUAAAUCACAAGUGAAUCACAUGUAAUUCACAAGUGAUUCACAUAUGAAUUACAUGUGAUUCACAUGUAAUUCACAUGUAAAUCACAAGUGACUCACAUAUGAGUUACAUAUAAUUCAUAGGUAAUUUACAUAAAAAUCACAUGAAAUUCACAAGUGAUUCACAUAUGAAUUACAUUUGAUUCACAUGUAAAUCACAAGCGAAUCACAUGUAAAUUUCAUAUGAAUUACAUGAGAUUCACAUAUAAAUCACAAGUGAAUCACAUAUGAAUUACGUCUAUAUGCACACAUAUAUUUUUGUGAGCUUCUUGCAUUAAUUAGUUUUUAAAAAAAUUUCUUGUAGCUUUGGAAGAGUUUGGAGAAAAUAUUGAAGAGGUGAAAAUGAUAAAUUAAAGAAAAUAUGGAAAUAUUGACACGGAGACAUGAAAACACUUCGAAAUUUUGUAGUAUUUUUUAUUUUUUUAAUAUUUUAUUUUGUAUCAAAUAAAAUACAUGUACUAUGGUGUUUAUAGAUUAUUAAAUAAAAAAUGGAUUUUUUAUAUGAUUACUUACGAAUACUAUAGUAUAAGAAAGAUACAUAUAUGUACUUGAAAAAUAUGCAUAUAUGCAAUUAAAAUGUUGAUUUUUUUUUGCUAAAAAAAUAGAGUUUUUUUUUUAAUAUUCUAGUUUUUUUUUAAUUUAUUGAUUUUUAAAAGUUACUUUAAAAAAUGCAGUUUUUUUUUAAAAAAAUUGCAGAUUUUUUUAAAAAAAAUGCAGCUUUUUUGAAAUAAAAUGAAGUUUUUUUAUAAAAAAAUGCAGUUUUUUUAUAAAAAAAUGCAGCUCUUUUAUAAAAAAAAAUGCAGUUUAUUUUAAAAAAAAUCAGUUUUUUUUAAAAUAUUAUUUUAAUUAAAAAAUGAAAAAAAUCUCCAUUUUUUUUAAAAAAUCAAAAAUUAUUUUUAAAAAAAAUCGGAAUUUGAUUUAUUAUGUUUAUUUUUAGAAUUUUUAAUUAAUAUUUCCAAUAACAAAAAAAAUUAAACAUUAAAUGAGACCGGUAAGAUGACGAUCAUGUCCAUAAUGAGUUUAUUUUGAUCCAACGCUCCACCUUUAGUUCUCAGGUUCUCGGGAAAGUAUGAGUUCUCAAUGGAUCUCAACCAUAUAUAUAUAUAUAUAUAUUAAAACUAUGUUGUUUUUGGUUAUUGAUUUUGUGUGAAAGAAAGUACCAAACUUGUGAAAUUUUUUUGUCGAAUAAAAUGUUAAAACCCUUAUUUUUCCAUAGCCCUUUAUCGACCGGCAUUUCCAUCCGCCACCACCAACCACCCCUUUUUCCUCCUCCAUUCUCUCUCUUCACCGGAAAGUUGUAUCAGACACCACCGAUUCAUUCAUCACACAUCGAUUCAUCAAUGAAGACGAUGGAAUGAGUAAUUCACCAAAAAACAAUUUCAUAGAAAUCAGAAUUCAUCAAAAAAGAUUUCCGUGAAAUCAGAAAUCAUUUCAGGGAAUUUAGCGAAAUCACAAUUGAUAAGGAAUUAGGUUUGACAUCGUUUUAAGUUAACCAGCCCUUUUUUCUUCCUUGUACCUUACCACAUUUAAGUUAACAAUUUCCAUGAUGAUUGUUGUUAGUCCUUCGAUUCUUCCCAACAUAUUGAAUCACAAAGAUUCAUCUUAUUUCCAUUUGAGGUUUUUUAUCAUCAAAUUUUCUUAAUUUUUCUGGUUAUCACGUGUUUCUAUUUUAUCUUUUUACAUUGAGAUGUUUAAUCGAUAGCAAGUUUAUUUUUAUGUUGAUUUCUAUAUAUUCAUCUUAUUUCAGAGAAAUGUUUAUGGGAGUAUACACCAGGUGUGUGAUUAAAUGCCUUAGUGAACUUUUCAAUCAGCUAGUGUAGGUAACCAUGCUUUACAUAGGUUGGGAUGGUGUUUGUUUUCUAAUAAAAGAACAAUCAUUUAACUAAUUUGGAUUCUAGUGUUCAUUUCCAUGAAGUAAAACGAACCUAUUUCAUCCAAAAGAAUUGAAAAACACUUACUCAUAUACCAAAAUUUGUAAUACUUUGUUGACUUGAAUCUAUUAUUAUAUAACAGUUAAAAUUACACAACUGCCUUUUCAAUUGCUUUCUAUUUCCAUGAACCAAUUGCCUUUCAAUUCCAUUCUUUGAUCUUUGCAAUCUCAGUCUCACAUUUUCUAUGUUUAGGUGAUGUGUGUCCAUAAACUUUCAACACCACAAGUAGUUUUAGUUAGCCCUAAUAUUUAAAGGAAAACAUCAUACUACAAGGAGUCUUAAUUUCAUGAAAUCUUUUUGCAUAGUCACUUAAAAUCUUGUCCAUAGGCUCGGUUAUGUUCACAUACUCAUGUUGCACUUCCAUUUCAAAGUAAAUUUUUGUAUUUCUUAGAAUUUCAUUUGUAAAGAUCAUAAUAGUUAAAUAUAAGAGUAAAUUACAAAAGAAUGAAAGAUUGGUCCAUGAGACUUUUUGAUUUUGGUCCUUAUUUCUAAGAUUGACAUCACUUUUGGACUGAACACCGUAAAAUUAAGAAACUACAAGGAAUAUUUUGUAAUUUACUCCAUGUUUUUUUUAUUGAAAUUGGUCUUAUUUCAAUGUUCCAAGGACCAAAAUCGACAUUGUGAUUGUGAGGGAUUAAAAGUUUCAUAAAACAAUAAAAUAGGGGCAAAAAUGUUAAAAAAAUAUUUCAAGUGAAAGCAGUCGAACAAAAUCAACAUCAACUAGCUUCCAUUGCCAAAUAAAGCUUGAAUUAUCAUAAGAGUCUGACUAUCAACAAAAUAAACCAUUCCAACUUUCAAUCUUUAAAAAAACUCAAAUGUUACAAAUGAAGAACAUUAGUAGGUUGAAGAAUCGUGAAUGUGCUAAUGGCUUAUGCAAGCAAGCACUUACCUUGAUGCUACUCAUGUCCAAACGGUGCCCAAGAAGUCGUGCAAGAAUCAAACAUUAUGCAACAAAAGGGUAUUUUGGUCGGUUAGCAAUAAUUUACGUUCUAUUUCUUUUAACAGAUUUAUAGACCAAACUAUUAUAAACAACAAGGGAACUAAUAACCAAAUAAAUGUAAACUCAAUUAGAUUAAAUAUACAAAACUUUAAACAAAUAGUUACAUGCAUACACCCACGAUCCAUUGCAAUUACCUAUCUAUUUUUCAAUUAAUAAUGAACAAAAGUCAUCAAGUUUUGAAUUAUAAAAAAACUAUACAACAUAUUUCCAACAAUAAAUUUUAGACAGAUUAUUACCAUUCAUCAUGAAGCACCAAUUUAAUUAAUAUUAUUCUCAAUUUUUGACAAAUAACUACGUUUUUUUAGAACAAAUAAGAGAUCAGUUACUUACAAUGAAAAUGAUCCUUAAAGCCUUCAUGCUUGGAAUAUUUGUUCUUUUCUCACAGCUCGAUCCCGCAAAGCAAAUUGUAAAAAUAUCAUAUAUUGCCUAAAUUAAAUAAUAUUAUGAAUAGAAACAAAGUAUAUUGCCUAAAUUUGAUAAAAAAAAAAGUAAUGUAUGUUGUCGUUACAUGUUAUGCUAAAUCUUAAGUUAUUCAAUACAUGAAAAGAACUCAUGCUUGCUCUUCACAGAUCCCAUCCUGCAAUAGCAUCUAUGCUCAUACAAAAACUUACAUGUCAUCAAGAAAAUCUUAUCAUCAAACAACUUAAAAUCUACCAACACAGGGUGUGAAAGUAGAAUAAUACCCUUUGGGGUAAGGGAUCUAGUUACUCAAACUGGACACCAUAACUAUCAAGAUUGAAGAAUGAAUCACAUACUCUGGCAAUAAUCAUCUUAAAUUGACAAAUCUAAGACCUUUAUAAAGUUUUGCAAUCUGAAAUAUCACCAUUCCAGAUUAAAACACAAUGAACUAUAAUCAAAUAAUUAUAUGUUUUUUCUCCGUAGUUAUGAGUUACAUCUGAUUCAUUCCUUCUGUACACACAAAAUAUAAAAAAUAUAGAGAUUAUCAAUUACCUUUGAUAAAGGUGAAAUUAGGGUUCAACAAUCCGAUUUCACCAGCGGAAAUCAUCAUGGUCAUCGGUAUUGGGUUCUUGUCAGCUAAUAACCUUAUAUUUCCAUCCUCGUCCAUCCUCACAUUCAACCACACCUGCGUCGUACACUCCAUCACUCGAUUUAUGACCAAAUUAAGUGUAAGAGACCUAGAAGUAUGUUGGAGAACGACUCUUUGUAUCAAUCUGAUUGGAAGGAAAAGCGGUGGGAGUGGGAACAAAGAUGAGCAACCCCAAUCUUGAGUCGAUGCCUUCAUCAUCUUCAUGAACUGAAGUUGUCUUAAGAGAGAUGAUUUUUCCAGUAGUUCUCAGCGCCGAUGUACAUUGUUGCUUCUUCCUGCUUUCAUCUCGAUCUCUUCCAAAACAUAAAUUUAUCUUUGGGGGAGGUAUAAACAGAGAGGAAAGCAUAUGAGCAAACGAAAGCAAACUGUGUAUAAAUUGAGACUGAGAAACAUAUAAAAAAAGGCAAAAAAAAAAAGGAGAAGUAGAAAAGAACGGUGGUGGAGGAUGGGUAUUUCCAAGCGCGAUGAAGUUGGUGGAGGCUGAAGGUGCCAGCAUCGAUAGCUAAAGCUAUAGCUUGAGGUCGUGUGUGGUAUAACCGAAAAGAGGAAGUAAAAAUUGGUGGUGACUGGUGGUUUGAUCUCGGUGGCAGAAUUCAAGAGAAUAGUGGAUAAUCUCAACGGAGAAAAACAGAGAAUAUGGAAAGACUGAAGGCAUCGCGCAUCGCACCUGGUUUUACUUAUAUCAGAGUGUGUAAUGAAUUUUGUAUCCACGAUUUUAUGUCAUUAUUCAGCAGUGAAUAAAUGAAAAGUGACAUGUUAAAACUAAAAUUUGAAUUUACUACAGAAAUACACAUACAUAAAUUUAUAAUAAAAAAAAUAACAUUGUAAUGAAUAUAUGAAUAAUCAAACGUUAGUAUUCAUAUUAAAAUUAGUUUAACAAUACAUAUAUACAACAUUAAUUACAGAAUAAUAAUAUAAACAUAGUGAUUUUAAAUCUUCACAUUAUUUACUAGUUUUUAUUUAAACUUAUAUAUAUAUAUAUAUAUAUAUAUAUAUAUAUAUAUAUAUAUNNNNNNNNNNNNNNNNNNNNNNNNNNNNNNNNNNNNNNNNNNNNNNNNNNNNNNNNNNNNNNNNNNNNNNNNNNNNNNNNNNNNNNNNNNNNNNNNNNNNNNNNNNNNNNNNNNNNNNNNNNNNNNNNNNNNNNNNNNNNNNNNNNNNNNNNNNNNNNNNNNNNNNNNNNNNNNNNNNNNNNNNNNNNNNNNNNNNNNNNNNNNNNNNNNNNNNNNNNNNNNNNNNNNNNNNNNNNNNNNNNNNNNNNNNNNNNNNNNNNNNNNNNNNNNNNNNNNNNNNNNNNNNNNNNNNNNNNNNNNNNNNNNNNNNNNNNNNNNNNNNNNNNNNNNNNNNNNNNNNNNNNNNNNNNNNNNNNNNNNNNNNNNNNNNNNNNNNNNNNNNNNNNNNNNNNNNNNNNNNNNNNNNNNNNNNNNNNNNNNNNNNNNNNNNNNNNNNNNNNNNNNNNNNNNNNNNNNNNNNNNNNNNNNNNNNNNNNNNNNNNNNNNNNNNNNNNNNNNNNNNNNNNNNNNNNNNNNNNNNNNNNNNNNNNNNNNNNNNNNNNNNNNNNNNNNNNNNNNNNNNNNNNNNNNNNNNNNNNNNNNNNNNNNNNNNNNNNNNNNNNNNNNNNNNNNNNNNNNNNNNNNNNNNNNNNNNNNNNNNNNNNNNNNNNNNNNNNNNNNNNNNNNNNNNNNNNNNNNNNNNNNNNNNNNNNNNNNNNNNNNNNNNNNNNNNNNNNNNNNNNNNNNNNNNNNNNNNNNNNNNNNNNNNNNNNNNNNNNNNNNNNNNNNNNNNNNNNNNNNNNNNNNNNNNNNNNNNNNNNNNNNNNNNNNNNNNNNNNNNNNNNNNNNNNAUCAAUUGUGUAUCCGUGUAACUAACUUCUAACCAUUGCAUCAAUGAGAAACAAAAUCAUUCUUGAAAGAAUACUAUUAAAUUUAUUAUUAUAUUAUUGUUUUAAGAAUUUAAAAUUCAAAAAUGUCUUAGGAUAAUAUGGAUAUUUUGCGCAUCCUUAGUUUAGGCAACAAAAUAAUCAAAUCUAAACUUUUUGGAAUUGAUUUUUUUUUUGUUUGCAAAAAAAAAAAUGUUUGUUCUAAGAGAAAUGUUUUUAGAAAAAAUAAACAUUUUUGACAUAAUAUUUUAGUAAUAAUCAUCAUUUGUUAAUAAAUAAUAAACAUUAUUGACAGAAUACACCGUGGUCUAUAAAUAUUUCUGAAAACAUAAAAGCAUAACAUAAAAAAUUCUGAAGAAUCUACUAAAAAUCUAACUAUUCUGAAAAUACUAUAUUGAUUGUAGCAUUUAGUCAUGUUUAUAUUCCAAUCUUCUAGAACACUUUCUUCUAGGAAUUCUUGUAUUUGUAAAAUUUCCAAAAUUGGAUCGACGGACAACCAUUUUGAAGAGAAUACACCUUCAUUCUUGAACAUUUUUGCAAUGCGAUGUAGAAAAGUCGCACCUUAUAUCAUCAAACCUAAAAAAGAAUUUCAAUAAUACUUUGAUGAUGAAUUCUUAAAGAAAGAAAUAAUUUAAGCUUAAAAAUUAAUAAUUAAUGAACAUAUAGAUCAAGAACUAGGAACAAAAGCUUAAAUCAUCAAUUGUAUUUUAUUUAGAGAAGACCAAGCAUAAUAUUCAUUCAUGGUGUCAAGAAUUAGUAUAAGAUUAGAGUAUCAACAUCACUAUUAUAUUAUAUGAUAAUCCACAAUGUACCUUAUAGAAAAGAAUUUAUAUUUGAAAAAGAUAAUCUAUCCAAAGUAAGUUUAAAAAAGUGAACUAACCUCGGGACUUGAAACAGCAAAAAAAUGGAACAAAGAAUUCGAUUUAAAAAUGAGUUUGUGUUGCUUUGUGUAACAUCUAACCCUAGUUCCUAAUCUUUUCUACCAGUAGCAUAACAGGUUCAACGACAAUAUAGAUAACUUUUUGUGGACAACCCAUCAAAUAUCCAUGCCUCGGUACUAUGGAGAAAUGAUAAUAUAUUUCGAUAUUGAUCAACUGACACCACCAAAACAUUCUUCUUUAAAAAAAUUGAAACUUUAAGAGUCCUCGGGAUUAAUAAUAUAAACGAUUUCUGACUGCAAUUAGCAUAAAAUCAUAUCUAAGCUUAAAGAAAAACAUGGAAAUCGAGAAAAAAGGGAAACAAAGAGAAUCGAUAAAAAGGAACCGUGGUUAUUUUCUACAAAUCGAUCAGAAAGAGAAUAAUGAGGUGGAUCAUAGUGACCUUUUCCAGGAUCGUAAUUGUUCCCACCACCGUCGUCAUUGUCGGUCAGACAGAUGACGAGGUUGCUAGUAAGGGUUUGGUGAGGCGUCGUCGGAUCCUAUAACAUAUUUCCUAUCUAUUUCAACAUAUUAUUAUCGAAGGAAGUAUAUCCUUAUGGGUGCUCAAUUUUCCAAAACGAACCAUAGUAGGAGUUUGAUUUCGAUGGUAAUGGGGUGGGGUGGAGACGAUAAAGACUGACAAAGACGAUGCACAUCGUAUCUUCAUCUUCAUACGUAAUUUUGUUUCCAUAAAUUAGGUGUUUAUUUGUGAGGUUCAAUAAAGAACCAUUAUUAACCAUGGAACCAAGGAACCAAUCUUUUUUUUCCAACUUUUAGAGCUUAUUUUUUAUCCUAAAAAACUUAAAAUAGAAAUUUAUAAUUUUUUAUUAUUUUUCCAAUGAUAUCAAAUUUGAUAAAAAAAUUUGUUUUUUUUUUUUUUUUUUUUUUNAAAUUCUAAAAAAAAAAAUUCGUCAAAUUCACAAUGUGAAUCUAAAUUCACACGGUGAAUUCGAAAAAUAUUUUUAACAUUCACAAUUUUAUGUUAUGAAUUUAGAUAUUUUUAGUUUUUUUUUUCGAUAAAAAAUAAACUCUAAAACUUAAAACAAAAUAUCUCAUCUCGGGUUUGUUACGUGAGUACCCACCUAUCCUCACAUCUUGUAACAUACCCAACAUAUGUUUCCUAUAAAAAAAAAAUAUUCAUUACAUAACUCUAGUAGGAAAUUUUUUGCCAUCAAACUAAGUACUAAUAAACAAAAAAGAAUCAUGGUUUGGAGACACGAUCUCAGUAAUCAGCAAAACAAGUAAUAUAAUACCGGAAUGAAACUAACAACAAAAAUGAGAAUGAAACCAACAACCGAUAACAAUCAGAAGAAUCAAAUACUAACAACAUCGAAAAAACUUACCAAACAAAAGAGACCGAAAGCAGAAACUACGAUGAAUUGUGCCAGCCCUAUGAUACCUUGUGAAGUGAAACAAAAUAAAGGGUACACGGCUAGCUUUAUAAUUGAAGUAAAGUGAAGUAUAAUUAUAAAUAAAAAAAAUUGUUUAGAGUCAACCUAUCCAAAUAACUAAAUAAAAGUACAAUAAAAAAAAUAGUGCAAAUGUCUAAUAAAAAAUAGUUCAAUAUCUUUAAUUAUUUCUAUCCAGUUAUUUUUUUUGUAAUUUGUAUCUAUUUCUAGCAUUGUGUUAGUUAUUUAAUAACAUUUGUCGCUCCAAGAACAAAAAGACAAAAAUUUCCUUACAUAUAUAUAAAAAAAAUAUUUACUCACUAUUGGAGUGAGAAAAAAAACACUUUGAGACCAUGGUUUAACUAAUGAAAUCGCCAAAAAAAAAAUCAUAACUAACAAAAAGAAAAUGCCUCAAUGAGAAUAACAUUAGUAUAUAAUGUUAUUAGCUUCGCCAAAUAAACUUUUAGAUCAUCAAAAAGAAAAUAAUAAUAAUAAUAAUAAUAAUAAUAAAAUAAGUUGAAGAUAUAAAUUUAAAAAUGUUACAUUAUUAUUCCAUUGUAAAUUUUAAACUAAUUUUCUAUCCCCUUCUCGUUUAUAUCGUAGAGUGCUUACAGAUAGAUUUCUUAAAGAAAUCAUGUUUGAACCCACCAAUUUGAUAUGUUCAGGGCUGGACCAGGCUAUGGGCGACAUGGCCCAGGACGUCAGUUGUCAGCUUGGCAUCAUUUUAAAGCCCAAAUAUUUUACUUGCUCUCUAUUUUCUUUCUUUCGGAACUGGAAAUUAGAAUUUCAACCCUUCAUCAACUGAUCAACUCCCAUGUAAACUGGAAUUAAAUUAAAACCUUUUUUUUUCUAAAAAUUUCUUUUUGAUGUACAAGGACAAAUAUGAAAUUUGGAAUUUUGUUUCGGAAAUUGGAAAUAUAACUUUUAAAAGCACCUUUUUUUUUUCUUGAAUCGUUUUUUUUACUUUUUAGCAUCCAUUGCCCUUGAGUUUGAAUAUGUUAAGUGUUGACAUUGAUCUAUAAUAUUGUUUCUUAGACCUCGGUCACUUUUGUAAGCACUGAACUUAGAGAUUGAUUCAUGUUGUUAUGUUCUUAGGCAUCUCCAACUCAUCUUCAAACUCUAUUUUCUUUUUCAUUUCUUUUUAAUUCUUCUUCAACCUUACCUCAUUUUCAUCUUUAUUUUUAGAGAUAUAAAUAGUAUUCAGUUGCCAAUUUUAGUCCCUCUUAUUUUUAUUUUAUAUAUUUUUAGUUUAUUUUUAUUUACUAGUUAUAAUUUAAAUGCAAUAUUUAAUAUUUGUAAUAUCAUGUUAUAUACUAAUUUAUAUUGAUUAAUCGUAAAUAUAGAGUUUAAUAUUUAUUUAUCGAAUUCAUAUAAAAAAAAUUAAAUAUAUAUUAAAAACUUGAAAUACGAUAACAUAAUUUAUAAAAUAUAGUAAUCAAAUAUAAUUGUGAUCUUGAUAUAUUUAUUAUAAAUAUUAUCUUAUUUAUUUAAUAAUUAAUUAUAAUAAAGUAAUAAUCAAUUUAAUAUUUUAUUAUAUAUAAACAUUUUAUUUAUGACAAUAUAACUCGUAAUAUUUUGUAAUGAAAAAAUAUAAUAUAUAUUUGUUAACAUCUAAUUAAUAGAGAGGUGUAUUGACAAUGUAUAUAAGUUAUAAAAAUAAAAUAUUCUAGGAAUAUUUUUUUUGGGAUAAAAAUAGGAUAAAAAAUGAAGUAAGGUUUGGAGAUGAAACACUAUUUACCUCCAUUUUUUCAUUCAUUUAUGUAAGAAAAAAUAGAGAUGAGUUGGAUAUGGUCUUAGCCCUAGUAUUAAUAUACAUAAUUCAAACAUUAUAUUAACCUAUAUUGUUUUUCGAGAUUUUUUAAGUUGUCAUAUUUGGUAAAUCAAUAAGUAGUUUAUAAACUAACUUAUAAGGUAGUUUUUUAAAAAUCUACUUAAAUUAGUUUUUUUUAUGAACUUUUUUAAAAAAUUUCAAAUAUAACCCUUAAAUAAUUAUUGAAACAUUUUUUUUAAAUGUCUUUUUAUGUCAUCUUUGAGCUACAUUUUCAGCUAGUUUUACCAAAUAUUAUUUUUUAUCUGUUAGUUUUUUAGCUACCAGCUAGCUUUUUAUUUAACACUAGGUUUUUAGCUAUCAGUUAGCUUUUCAGCUAACGACUAGCUUUUCAGCUAUUACGUCAAACAUAGUCUAAGUUGGUACCAUCGACACCAAAAUCCCAACGACAUGUGUUACUGUAAAUUCAUGGAUUAGACGGGUUGGAGAUGCCGCUCCUCCCACACUUCUCUCCUCUCUUUUGACCAAUGAAUAGGUAGAAAUUUAUUUAUUUUUCCAUUUUGUUACCCAUAUAAACCAUUCUCCACCACUUCAAAAACCACACAUUCUCUAUAAUUCAUCUACAACUUCUCAAAUUUCUUUCCAACCUUUAGAAUUUCAUUCCAACUCUCUUAUAUUUAGUGAAACUAUCCUCUAGUUAUGAUGAUUAUGUGUGCAUCAAAUAUUUUACAGAAAUAAGUUGUAUUUUACAUAUUCAUCUGAAUCUAAAAAUAAUAAAAUUCAACACUUUCUCGAACUGCAUGUGUGUUUCUUUAAGAAGUUGCAAGUUAUGCAUCACAAUUUGAAAACUCUUGUGAAGAGAGACCGUGAAACAACUGAAAAGCGUCUGAUCCGAGAUUACUUUGUCAAUACUGCAAUCUUCGGUGGUGAGAAUUUUCUAAGAAGCUUCCAUAUGAACAACACUUAUUCAUGUGUCUUGUUGAAGAUAUGGAAAAAAAAAAACAUAUCCAUAAACUGAAACAACAUGGGAUGCAAGGUUUCAUAGAAGUUACAAGUCAUUGCAAAAAUGCACAUCUACAAUAUGACAAUUAUCGUACAGGAAUAACACAAAUGUGUUGGAUGAGAACUUGAAUAUGUCGAAGAGAACUUCACAUGAAAGUAUUCAACACUCAUGUUAUGGUAUUCAUUAAGUUGUAUGGAGAUGAAUAUUUGAGCAAACCAACACCCAACAGCAUUCAAUUUUUGUAUGAUGCACAUGAAACCAAAUAUGAAUUUGCUUGAAUUCUUAGUAGCAUUGAUUGCACAUAUUGGAAUUGGAUGAAUUACCUAACAAAAUUACGAAUUUAUUACAUGAGAGGUGAUCACGAGUACCUAAUAAUGAUACUUAAGGUGAUAGUGUUACAAUAUUUAUGGUUCUACCAUGCAUACUACAGUUUCACUAGUUUGAACACUAACUUUAAUGUCAUAAACUAACCACCUAUAUUCGAUGCAAAACUUCUUGGAAAAGAACCCAAAUGUUCAGCUCAUUUAAAUGGAGAAGAAUUCAAGCAUGGUGUUAUCUUGUGGAUAAGAUAUACCCACGUCGGGAAACUUUUGUGAAACUAUUUUCAUACCCAACUACCGACUCAAAUACGGUUCAAGGUGGCACAAGAAGCAACAAGAAAGGACAUGGAAUGGGCUUUUAGCAUCCUAAAACAUCAUCGAGGCAUAAUAUGACUCCUUACAUGGGCAAUGCAUAGUAACAAAAUAAGAUAUAUAAUAUAAACUUUUAUUAUAUUACAUAAUAUAAUACUGAAAGAUAAGGGUGUUGUUAUAUGUCAUGCUCAUGAUAUUGAUCUCCCCACUAAAAGAUGAGGAUGUUGUUAUAUUUCAUGUUUAUGAUAUCAAUCUCCCCACUGAAAGAUGAGGAUGUUGUUAUAUGUCUUGUUCAAGAUAUCGAUCUCUCACACUAAGGUGAAAGUGAUGAAGAUAUGAUCAUCAAUUUAUGUGAUGUACAAAUCCAGAAACCCGCCACAAACUUCCCUCAACUCUUGUUGACCAUAUUGAACAAGCCUACAUACCCUCUUUAUAUAAAUAUUUUAUUUUAGUUAUCAUUUUAGGAAUUACAUUUUUCAUUUUACGAUGUUAAUUAAUGUAUGUAGUAGCUUGUUUUUUAGUAAAAUUUUGUUUUUAAUUUAAUUUUUAUUAAUUUAAAUUAAAAUUAGUAAAUCUUUAUUUUAUUUUUUUUAAAUAAAUAAUUAUGCGGGAUGGAGAAUUGGAGGGAUCAAUUUUUAUGUUUUGUUAGUCGAAUGAGAUGGAAGUAAAAAACAAAAAUUGAUAUGACAAUGAGACAACAUGUGAAUAAGGGAUAGAUGGAAAUGACAGAGUGACUCUGCCAUUAGGCAACAAAGUGAAUAAUAUAAAAUUUAAAAAAUAGUUGAUAACAUAUUUGUUUGAGAAUCAUUUUUAAACUUUCAUGAAAAUCAAUUUGCCAGUUGAACAUUAUCAUUUUUGGUUUUUUACUUUUUAUAUCACUUUGCUUUUAAAGGUAAUAUAAGGGCAUUGUUAAGUCUCUUCAUCGAUGACAUAAAAAACCUAUUGAUAUGUUAUUUACUUAAGGAACCAAAGAAACAAAACUGAAAAUCCAAGUUUAAAUUCGUUAUCUACCGUUAGUUAUGGACUCUUAACCCGGUGUUAUAUAAUUCAAUAAAAAGAAUGGUAAAUAUGAGCCAAUUUUGCCUUGUUUUACAGGACCAACAUAUUAUUGGUCUUUUAUCCUUUUAUUGUAGAAAUUAUUAUUUUGUUAUUUUAUUGUUUAAAAAAUUUCAAGUAACUAAAAAUCAACAUACGUUUUUGUACAAAAAAAGAGUGGAACAUCCAUUUAAUUUAAUUAAUUAGAAAAAAUAGUAUAAUGUUCAUGGAUUAAGGCUCCAACUUUCCAAGUGAAAUGAAAUCUAGUACUUAGGAUAACCCAUGAACAUAAAUAAGACUAAAAAUCAACAAGCAUCGAACAUGCUUAUAUUUCUAACAUACACAACAUGACUCAAAAAGUGGACCAAUGAUAUGCGUACGUUUGGAGUAGUAUAUUCAUGGAUCAUUCUCUGGUGUUGUCCCACGUCCCCAUGGAUAACUUCCAAACCUUUCAUGCCUUGAUUAUAUUUGGAUUCUCUAAAAACUAGUGUUGCACAUAACGGCCUAGGCGGCCGAUUAUUCGACGUCUAGGUGCUUGGCGGUCCUCCACCGCCGACGUUUAUAGCUAAUCGGACUCUAUUAUCGAAUGUGGUCAAAACUAAUCAAAGACGGAGAUUAUCGGGUCUAGGCAGCCUUAUCGAUCAAUUAAGGUCAACAAAAAAAAUUAAGGGAAAAAGUGUCAAAGUGUUAGAAUUGCUUCUAGGGUUCUUCUUAUUCCAUUGCAUUUGUCUCUUUUCUUUUUUUUGAAAUUCUCUCUGUAGUUCGAAGGAACGAACGAAAGAAUGAACUGAAUCUUCUAAAAAGACCCCAUCUUCUUAUUCGAUGUCAUUUGUGUUGGGUUUUGAGCAUUCUAACACUCCUAAGUGUACAUGCAACCCUAAAUACCUUGGAUCUAUGUUUUCUCUAUUAGACAUGUAAAUAUGAACUUUCCAAGGUAUUCAUCCUAACUAGCAUAAUAACAUUGAUUCAUAUGAAUAUAUCAAGUUAGAAUUACAUACCUCUUUGAUGUAGAAUGUCUUCAUGAAGCUUGAGUGUAUAGUGCCCCAAGUGUGACACCUCAAAUGGUUCACACAACACCAAAUACACUUGGAAUAGAUUAGAGAGAAAUCCACACUUCAUAAAAACCGGCUAGCCCUUUCACAUAUAAUCUAGUGCCGAUUUUGUCAACAAUAAGAUGAUUAUAUAGUUAGUGACAAUUAGGGUAAACCCUAAUUGUCAUGGAUUUCCAUUUCCUUGGAUCCAUGGGUUCAAAUAUACCAUGGAGCAUCUUAUGGGUUUUAGCCCAACUUGACAAUCCAUGAAGCAUUAGCCCACUAUACAAGUAUGGAUGAUUUACACAAUCAACCCAUAUAUUUAAUUAGUCUUCUUUUGAUCACUUAAUUAAUCCUAGAUUAAUUCUUGAUCAAUACUAAUUAAAUAAUCUUAUUAAUAUAUUAGAACUUAUAAUAUAUUAACAAACCUUAAGUGUUAUUUCUCUCAUUAUAGUCUAUCCAAAUUCAUGAUGCCAUGCAACCCAAAUGGACCAUGCCGGGUCGGGUCAAGUCUUACCAAUUAUAGUUAUGGACUUAGACAUUAAUCCAACAGUCUCCCACUUGGAUAAGUCUAAAACUAUUAUUGCAAGUAUGACUUCAAGAACCGACUGGCAAUCGUAGCUCUCAAAAGCUUCUGUCGAACUCUGACCUUGCCGAUGAUCUCUGACCUUUGUCAAUGACUUGUCCAUUAGAUAAGGGAUCAUAUAUUCCUCCAUUCUAGAUAUCAUAUGGACUGAGACAUGGAUUAUAAUCAUUCUCUCUAUCCAUUUGUUGUUUCCCGAUUUCCGAUUUAUGACGACUGACUAAUUGAACAAAUCAAAUCAGUCCUGGCCCGGCCGAGCACUUCCAUUUGUCAUCAUCAAAUCAUCGAGGGGCCCACAGAUAUCGCUUUUAUCCCGAAGGUAAAAGGAAUGGAUAAACUUCGACUCAUAUGGCUUGUUCUACUACUUGUUGAAUCAUACACAAAGGCACGUUUUAUAGCACCGAGUUACCAAAUGCGUUUUCGUGCAAUCAAUGUACUAUCAACUCAUAGUAACAACUCAUAUCUCUAGGUUUGAAGAAUAUAAGAUAUUAUCGUCUCAUGAUCACUCGUGAUAAAAUCCAUGAAGUGAUUCCAAUGAGCGUAGGUUGAAUCCAAUACUCAGAACUUAUGAGCACUCAUGAGUGUUGUAGCACCACUUUAUCCAACAACUUAGACCUCUACAAGCCAAUCCAAGAUAGUCUUGAUUCAUAUCUACUUCCAACAUAUGACCGACUGUGGAUGGUUUGAAUAACUUAGUCAAUCAGGAAUAACGACAUAGUUAUUCUGGAAGUCAAAACAUGCAAAAUGAAGCACAAGAAUAAAUUGAAUCCAAUAUGGUAUCAANUGAACAUAAAUAAAACACCUUUUAUUUAUCACCAUAUGAUUACACAUUAUUCAUUGUAUACUGUUUCAGCUAUCAACUUUAUUCUUGAAAUUAAAACAAUAGUUGUCCCAUGCUCCAAGCAUGUACACUAUGUUUUCUAAACACUAGUCAUGCCACAUACCAAGUAUGCAUACUAUGUUUGUCUAUGAUCUUUACUUUGCGAAAUAGACCAAUUGAACAUAACUCCAAUGAUUCUAAUUUCACAGUCCCAAAUCCUGACGGCAAAUGCAAGAAUUCCAAAUUCAUGCCAUUUACUGAAAUCUAUUAGAUUCUAAACUUAUAUGCAUUGAUUAUCUUGUAAUGAUUAUGCACAAAGUCACAAAGACUUGACAACAAACAUUACAAAGCAUUCCAAAGGAGAUUAACUCCUUGAAAACAUCCUUCUUGCAUUAAGUUUUCUAAUAUGACACAGUUUUAUUGAACAACUUCCACCUAUGGGAUCAUUUCCAUAUUCCCCUGUUGACUAUCACUUCUGAACAAGAGUUGCCUUUUUUUUUAGAAUAUGUCAAUAUGGUCAUUCCAAGAAUUAACACUAUACUUUCAACUGUCCUUGAGCAACCAAUCUUUGGUAAACCUUAGAUUGUCCUCAACAAUUGUUUAAUCCUUUUAGUCAUAUCCAGUUCUAGACCUUUUCCCUUCUUAAUGCCCCAGGCAUUUGGAAAAUUUUAGAAAGGAUGAAUAUAGCACAUGU
RNAcentral lists this long non-coding RNA (62911 nucleotides) under Lactuca sativa (garden lettuce). RNAcentral describes it as "long non-coding RNA (LSAT_LNC007264)". Lineage: Eukaryota; Viridiplantae; Streptophyta; Magnoliopsida; Asterales; Asteraceae. The record is from RNAcentral.